This 80098-nucleotide long non-coding RNA is filed under the name Citrus x clementina. RNAcentral describes it as "Citrus clementina (C. clementina) long non-coding RNA (CCLE_LNC002393)". Lineage: Eukaryota; Viridiplantae; Streptophyta; Magnoliopsida; Sapindales; Rutaceae. The record is from RNAcentral.
ACUUGGGGGAAAUUGGUAUUCAGACAGGACCAUCCGUGAGGGCUUGCUCUCAUUCACCAGCUUCAAGCAUUCAAGUUUGUGGAGUUCGCAAAGGCUUUUGGAAACCCCAGAUUGAUAGUAACUCAAAUCUCCAGAUAUCCGAAGAGUCUGAACACUAGGUAGUCUGCCCAAUAUAUCAGGAGUACAACUACUAGGGUUUAAAGCUGAUAUGAAAAUGAGAUUUUUCAGAGAGCUAGAAUAAUUUUUUGGAGGUGCGGGCAGAGUGAUAGAACCAAAGUUUAGAUGCAUGAGUUUUUGCAUCAUCCAAAUAUCCUCUGGUGACUGAUCUAUGUAGCUAGAUGGCAUUUCUAGUGUUUCAAGGUUUAAAAGGGUGCAUAGCAGUGAAGGAAGGCAUUUGAGCGAAGGGAUAUUCAAUUUCAAAUACUUCAAAAGAUAUAAAUUUUCUAAUCCGGGUGGAUAUUGGUCCAGGACUGCAGAACCCAUGUUCAAUACCCGAAGGUGUUUGAACUUUUUACAAAAAUUCUCGCAAUCUAUCAGAGCGAGAUGAUCGCUUGCCGAACUGUGAUUCAGAAAAGAUUGGAGAUACAUGUCAGAAUGUUCUAAAGAUAAAAACCCAGUCAGAUCUUCGGCAAUGACGCACCGUUUAACAUUUGCCACUCGCUCCUCUUCCCUGUCAUGCACCAAGACAAAUCCGGCCUUCUCUGCCACAAAAUACAAUGAAGUAUAUACAAAACUUGGAACAUAACACGCUUUAAUUGUGGCUCCGGCGCUUCUCUUACUCACUUGAAUGAAGCCGCGAUGGAUUAGUUCUUUCAAGUAAUGUUCGGCAGUUUCUUCACCGUUGUAUGGUAUGAAACCUUCAGCUACCCACAACUGAUAUAAUUGCUCCGUAGAUAUCUCAAUACUUGGAAGGAAGACACACAAAUAGAUGAAGCAGACUUUCAAGUAAAAAGGUAACUCCAUCACAGAAAAAAUUUGUCUCCAAACUGUCGGAAUCGCUUCGCCUUGAAGAUAAUUUUCUAAUGGCAUACUUCCAUAGUGUAGGAUGAAAAAUUGCCACGCUUCAUGCUUUAAUCUGAUCAAUGGUCCUCCAAAGAGCACUGAAUCACGCCGAAUCUUCUCUCCGUUUUCCAUUUCCAACGACGCAAGGAGCUGUGGAUCACUGACCAACAUCAAUACUCUGCUUCCAUUCUGAUUAUCAGGAAGAACUUCUUCAAGAUCACUCCAUAUCUCACUGUCAUCGAAGACAUCAUCAAGCACAAUAAAGUACUUCCUGUUUGUUAGGUAAUCUCGAAGAAUAGAUUUCUUCAAUUGAUAAUCUUCCCCGAUAAUUACACUAACCCGAGAUGGAGGCAUCACCGACUUGAUUAUGUCAUCCAAUAUCUUGCCAAAAACGUAGGUUAUAGAAACCCUGACCCAAGCAAGACAGUCAAAAUAGAACUUGACGUGGUUAUUAUUGUAAGUAUCUGCAGCAAAAACAGUCUUGUCGAAGCCACUGCUGUCGAGAAUUGCAACCACUGCAAGCCCAGAUGGUCCCUCAAUCAAUAGAUCAAACAACUCCUCCCUGCCCCUUUCAAAUUCAUUGAUAUCAAGCCGAGGUUGUCCCUCACUCAAUAGGCGAAUGAUUUCGUUACUUUUUUCACUGAUAUCAAAACCAUUGUCGCCGGGUGGAAGUUGUUGCAUCCGAUUUCUAAUAUCAAUGAUUUUAGUGUGGAGUCCAACAAGAAGAGCCAUAAUGAUGUUGAUGAUUUCGUUACUUUCACUUUCGUUUUCACUGUUUUGCUGCUGCAUGAUGUUGAUGAAGAAUGUGUCAAUGACUUCCUCAGAGUCACGGACAAAGUUAUUGAUGUCCUUCAGAAUUUCAAAAAUAUCUGCUGUUUCAACGUCUUCUUCAUCGCUUUCUUCUAAGUCCAACAGUUGCAAAAAAGGCAAAGAUAUUUUGGAGUCAUCGAAUUCUUCUCUAAUGAGUUGAAACAAAUGCCGAGCCAUGUCAGCUUCAUAAUUUCCCAGCAGAGUAGUAGCAAUAAUUUCGGACUCCGUAAGAAGGUUUUGAAAAAGUGGAGUUAAAUUUGUUGAAUCUGGCAGCGGCAACGUGCCUUCUUCACCUGCUAACACCCUUUUCAACCUCUCACAAAACAGUCGGAGGUGGAAUUCCAGCAUAUCUCCUUCUCUCUGUAGCAGCCAGAGGUAUUGUUUUUUGCUCCAAGAAAUAUUAAAAGGAUUGGUUCUAUCCUCAAGUGGUUACUGGUGUAAAAUUAAACGCCAUGGGAGAAUUUGAAAGGAAGAUGCCAAGGAACUGGCGAAGUGGCUAAAUUCCACAAAUACGGCAUUAUUGCUCAUUUUUAACUCAAAAAAUUGAUACGCGUUCAUUUAGAGAAAAGUCCAAGACGCGUGCUUUUUGAAAAGAACAGGUAUCCCAAUCGGUAUCCAACCUUUAUCUUAUUUAAUUACUACCAUGACAUAAUUGAUGGUGCUUAAAUCAAUUGUUUCUUUUUUAAUUUAAAGAAUUUUUCAUUAAAAAAUAUUUUAAUAUCAAAUUGCCUUCAGUGGCGUAACAACUGCCUCAAGCCCAGUAACAGGACUAAUUAAAAAUUUUACAAUUUUGGGGCAUGGAAAUAGUAGUAUUAAACAUUAGAAAGGUGAGGUUGUUCUGUUAAAGAAUUGAUAUUGACAUAAUUUUAUUUUGGUUUUCGUGGAAAAAAAAAAUUUGUUGACAAACAAGAAAAUAUUUUUAUAUUUUAAAAUUUAUUAUGCAUAUUUUAUCAUAUUAAAGUAGUUUUAAUAGUAAAUAGAAACAUAAUAUUACGAUAAAUAAAUUAAAAUUUAACUUAUUUUGAAUAUUAUAAAAAAUAAUUUUAAUAUUAUUAAUAGGAAGACAUUGUAUUAAUUUAAAAAUUUUUUAACCCAAAGGUUUAUUUAAAAUCUUUAUUAUAAAUACAAAUAUAAAAUUAAAUAUCAUAAUUUAAAAUUUUUAAUAUUAUUUUAAGUAUGAAAAAUAUUUUAAUAUUAUUAGUCUAGAUCAUAUUACUUAUAUAAUAUUUGUAUUAUUAAAAAUGCUUUAAAAAAGACCUUGUUGUUACUUUUUAAAAAAUUGAGGGCCUGCUUGAUAAUUUUUUCAAAAAGAAAAUGCUUGGUAUAUAGGAGGGGUAGAGAAACAGGACUCCCAAAAUCUCUCACCCUUUUGUAAUUUAAAAAGAAUUAAAAUAUCAAUAAAAAAUAAUAAAGAAAAUAGAAUUUUAUCUGCUCCUUACUCCAUUUUUGCAACUCUCUCACCAUCUCUGUCGAGCAGCCCUCUCUCUCAUUGUCUCUCACUAUUUCAGGAUCUCUCUCUCACUCACACAAUCCUUUCCACGAUUUGAAAUUCUUUGGCCUUCUGCAACUCUUACAAGAAAUUAACGCUUUGGUUCUCCCAAGGGUAGAUUGGUUUUAUUGGGAAGCUAUUAAUUAGAAGGAGGAAAAAGGACUAUAUUUAGAAUAUGAUUUGUUGGAGAAUCUCAAAGUUAAUCAAUUUUCAAGCCACACUUUCAAUAGCCAAUUGAUUUAGUAACCAUUAAUUACUUUAAUUUCCAUAAAUUGUAAUGACAGUGCAAAUGCAUCUGGUUGUGAUAGCUAAGGGUUAGCUUGAAGAAUUAAAUUUCAUAAGAUAUUACUGGAAAAUGCUUUGCAGCUAACGUGCUGCUUCCUUUGCUAGACUACAAUUUCAAAAUUCUCACGAGUUUUCCAUUGUUGUCACAAACCGAGAAAUUAUAAAAUACAUGGCCUGGUUCUUUGGCAAUGACCAUCUCAUCGUCGGCGGUCGUGUCGUCAUUGUCACUGGUCUUGCUCGACCGAGACAGUGAGAGAGAGGUUUGUUAGAUGGAGUUAGUGAGAGAGAGUUGUAAAGAUGGAAUGAUGAUAAAGGAUUCUAUUUUUUUUAUUGUUUUUUAUUAAUAUUUCAACAGGUCUUAGUAUAUAUAUAUAUGAUUGUAAAUAUCAGUUAUACUCAUGUAAUAUGAGUUGUAAUUUGAGCAAUAGUCUCAUGUUAUCAAAAAAAAAAAAUCAAAAAGCAAAGGUUGUUAUGUCGAAGAAUUGAUGUCAACAAAAUUUUAUUUUAGUUUUCGGAAAAAACAAAACAAAAAUAAAAUUUUUGUUGACAAGCAAGAAAAUGUUUUUUAUACUUUACAAUCUGCUAUACAUAUUUUAUCAUAUUAAAGUAAUUUUAAUAAUAUAUGGAAACAUAAUAUUAUAAUAAAUAAAUUAAAAUUACUUUGAAUUAUUGAAUAUUACAAAAAGAUAAUUUUAAUAUUAUUAAUAGGAAAACAUAUUUUAUUUGUAAAAUCUUUUUAAUACACAAAUUCAUUUAAAAUCUUUAUAAUAAAUACAAAUAUAAAUUAAAAAAUAUCAUAAUUUAAAUUUUUUAAUAGUAUUUAAAUAUUAAAAAUACUUUAAUAUUAUUAAUCUACUACAUCAAAUAUAUUAUUUAUAUUAUAUUCGUAUUGAUUAAAACGUUUUAAAGUCAAAUUUUUAAUUAGUGUAUUCAAAGGUACAAAAGAUUUUAGUAUUAUUUUUUAAAAAUUUCAGGAUAUGAAUGAUAAUUUUUUCAAAUUUUAAAGAUGUAAAAAUCUUUUUUUCUGAUAAUUUAUUUCACUUUUGAGAGAAUCCGAAAACGUUAAUUUAACAUUCUUUACCUUUGUGAAAAAAGUGAAAAUCAAGAACUAUUCAAUUUUGUUUUUAUUUGUAAUUCAAAAACUUUAUUCAUUUUCGAUGCUUUUCAAAAGAGAUUCCUUUAAAUCCUUUUGAUGUCUGCAGCUCCUGCUAUUCUCAUAAAUCUCCAUCCCACAUCUACACUAUCAAACUAGUUGAUGGAAAUUCUUAUAAAAAAAAAAAAAAAGUCGAUGGAAAUUGAUCAAUUGCUUUUUGAAAUGGACCCAUUGAGUCAUGUUCAUUUCUGGUCAUAUAAAUUUCUUUACCUUACAGUUUAUACGGUCUUGCUGUUAAUGAAUUCGCUGAGGCAUUAUUGAUCCAAUCUGAGUGAAGUAAUUGUGGGUGAAAAAUAAAUAAAGGAUAGCAGAACGUAGCUGAAGUGCUGAAGGGGCUAUUAAAGAAGAGUGUCACUCGAUCACAAUCACAUUGAUGCACAACUCACUCGUGGCAAAUUCCGACUAUACGUACUGCAAAUUCAGCCAAACCAUACAUGCAUGAACAAAACAUCUUCUCUAAACUAAAAAGCCCACAUCUCUAAAAUCAAUCUACAUAAUGUUGGAGAUGAGGGGUGAAUUGUUAACUCAGUAAAAAAAAAAAAACUCAUGCAUAAGAUUACUAAUAAUAUAAAUUAUAUAUUAAUCAUUAUGAAGAAUCAUAAAUUAGAAAAAUUAAUCAUUUUAUAAUUUAUUACACAAGUAAGAUAAAUCUUAUAAUAAGUUAUAACAUAAAAAAACGUUAUCAAUAAAUAAUCAUUUAAGAAGUCAUUUAACAAUAAAAUCGUUCUUUGAUCAGUUGGUCAUGUCACAUAGUAUCAUCUAUAUUUAUGGUGAUAAUAUUAUUACUUGGUAUUAUCAAAAAACAUGAUUUAACAUUUUAGAGGAAAUUCUUGCCUUUUAAAAAAAACAUGUAUGCAACAGCUACCCAUGCUUGAUCUUACAAAUGAACAAAUAAUUUUUCUCAAUGAAAAGAAUUUUUUUUUUAAAUUGAUUUAAUUGCACCAAUUAUGAUGAUUUUUUGCCAAAAAAUUAUUUUUUGGAAAACAUAGUGAGAGAAAAUUAGUGACGAUUAUUUGUUUAGAUUGUAUAAAUAGCUCAAACAUAAUCCCUUAAUAACCNNNNNNNNNNNNNNNNNNNNNNNNNNNNNNNNNNNNNNNNNNNNNNNNNNNNNNNNNNNNNNNNNNNNNNNNNNNNNNNNNNNNNNNNNNNNNNNNNNNNAGGGAGAUCGUCGGGGACAAUCUGAACGGCCGACGCCGAUGAAAUGGAAGGGUUUACCAGAGGAGUGGAUGCGAAGAGUGCAGGGACGGCCGCAGAGAGAGAGCGGCGGAGAGCGGCGACGGACGGUAGUCGGUAUGGGCCAUUGCUUGCGCGUCGGUAAUUGUCUCGAGUGAGAGAGUGAAGGGUUUUGUUUAGGGUUUUGGGAAAUGAAAAAUGCAAAUGUUUGAUUUUGUUGCUAGAAACUUCUUCUGCCGCUGCCUUUUAUUUUCGCUAUAAUAAUAUUAAUAAUUUGUUAAUAAAAUAUUUUCUUAAAAAAGAUAAAUUUCUACGACAAAAUUUAUAUUAAAUCAAAUUGUAAAAAUGUCUAUUAGGGUUAAUUUCUCCUUAAUAUUAUUAUUAGUAGAAGUAGAUUUUCGAAUUAGUCUUGAUAUAUUUCAGAGUUGUAUUAUAAAUGUAUAUGUAUCUGGAUUGCAAUUGUAUUUUUAAAAAAUAUAAUUUUUUUAAUUAUUGCACAAUAAAUGUAGAAAGUGUCUAUAAAAUAAUAUUAUUAGAACUAUGAAAAGAUAUUAUUUUAGAGUAGUUAUUUAUUUAUUUUUGAAUAAAUAAUUUAUUAAUUUAUUGAUAAAUUAAUAUUUAUUAAUUUAAAGAGAGAUUUUUUUUUUGUGGGUUUUAAGAAGAGUUUUGUUGGUAUAUGUAUAAACUUAUAAAGAAAUACAAAAAAUGCUUCCUCAAGUCAAUAAUAUUUACUUUAAUUCAUAAUAAUAUAGUUUAAUCAAGAAACUUGUAAUUAUACUAUAUCUUUCUUUCUUUGUUCAGUUUGGUGGGACAUUGUGAUAAAUCAUUGGAUUAAAAUGCAUUUGUAAAUGAAAACUUGUUAAAACCUAAUUUAUUUGGGAAAAACAUAUUAUUUACUCUUUUUUUUUCCCGCUCUCUGACAAUUGAGGUAUGGGUCAAGCUUGAAAGUAUCUUAAAAUCAGACAACAAUUUAACGAUUUUUUGUUUUUAGAUAACUGCUGGUAUGCUCUACAAUGAUAAGUGAUAACCUAGGUGUUUGCAUUAAUUAUGAUUCAACAAUUUAAAAAAUGAAAACAUAUGGAAGACGGCCGCAAUUAAAUUUAUUGUAUGAAAAUAUUUCAAUGAAAUUUUAAAAAUUUAGUACUUGUUAUCUUAUCGAGAGUUUUUAAUUAUAUUACUACUUGAACUUGACUGCUUUUGUAUUGAAUUCCUAGCGUUGCCAUUGCUUCUACUCAAAAGCCAUUUAAGUUUGUGUAAGCUACCUGUAGUUUGAACAACAAUUUUCUAGAUGAAUUUUUUCCUACAUGCUUGUUCUCGUAUGACCCAAAAUCCUGCUACAUCAGUUGUAUUAGAAAUUAAUCAACUGGGUUACAAUUAUGCAUCCCCACCAAUAUUCAAGCAAUCUACAGAAACAUUUCUUGAGGAAAGAAACUCAUAUCGCCACUAGGCUUUUAAUGAGGCUCAUUUUUAUGAAUCUGGAUGGCAUUAGAUAUCUCUCCGAAUAUUGGUGGGAGUAUAUCGCUGAUCUCUGGGCUAUACUACAAAGUGUAUGUACGUUGACUCUCAAUAAAUACAAACGAUUCUCUGAUCUGAUUCAAAACAUCAGUACAUGCAUCAUUUUAAUGAGAAAGAAUAUUCUAAGAACGAAAUUGAAGGUGCAAUCAGCAGCUAAAAUGAAGCCAGAAAUGUACACGCAUGAGGAACUUUUCCUAGAAGAUUGAUAUUUCUUUAACUAGCAAACCAUAUAAGUCCAAAGCUAACCAAACCAUACCUGCAAGUCCGGGGCUUAAAUGGAGUACUUGUAAGCAUAAAACAUUAAUCAAAACACAGUAUAGACACACACACACACCCCUACAUACAUACCAGCAAAUUCGGAAUAGAAAAAGGAGUGCAACUAUUCAAGUUUGCAGACAAUAUUGCAACCAUGGCAUAUUAAAGCAAAUCCUUGAAAUCAGCUAAACAAAACAAUGCCCUGUCUCAUGAAUCGAUGCUCAAUUAAAAUUGCAAUUGAAAGUCCGGCUGGUGUUGUUUCCCUCCCCAGUUUUGCCUACAUAAGUAAACGGAAAUAAGAAUCAUAAAUGAAAAUCUACUUUGACAGUUCUUAUUAGAUAGAUAUAAAAAGAUCUUUCUUUGUUUCUCUGCUGUAAUUUGUAGACAUGUUCCUAUUGUGCAUAAUUUACAUUAUAGGCAAAUAUUCUUAUACCAUCAUAGGCAAAACAUGACACUAACAAUUGAAGGUUUUAUGACCUCCUUGAAGGUUUUACGAUAAACAUAAAUCUACUGAGAAAGUGGGAAAAAAAAGAAAAUGCAUAUAAAAAUAUGAGUUAUCAGAUAAGAUUGAAACUCACCCAAUUCAAUCCAUCAGAUUCCGCAAGGAUAUAACUGGAUGUCAUACCGCCACUCCAUAUCCUCGAAAGUCCGUAGUCCUUGUCUCAACUGUGUCUGGGGCCAGUGUAAGUCCAAUUUGCGCAAGCUCUUUAUGCACCACAGCUCUUCUGGAAGCUUUCUCAAGUAAGCACAUGGGUUGACAAUUAAGCUUUCAAGUUUCGGCAUUGCUCCAGCCCCCAUCGUCCACUCAUCUAGCCAAUACAUUGAUUUCAGGUGCAAAACCUUAAGUUCGGGAAAGCUACUCAAGCCAACACAAGCAAGCUUUCUUCCUAAAUACGAGUUCUGCUUCAGUUUCAGCACUCGAAGGAGUGGAAGAUUUUCCAGAAUUGGCAUGGGAUCCUGUUGUGAAUUUGGCUUUGUUACGACUAACCAAAUUCUCCCCAAGACACUAAUUUUGUAUCAAAUGGUUUGAGAAUUAACAGCACAGAUUAUGCAGUAACAAAUCACACGCAAGAACCAAAGCAUUAAAGAAACAAAGUGACACCAAGUAUAAGUGGUUCAGCACCAAGAUGUGGUGCCUACAUCCACUGGAAACAAAGCAACAGUCUUUCACUAUUUAGUUCACAAAACAAUACAAUAAUAGGAAUUUAUUUACAGAGAACAAGAACUUGUAAACCCCUUUCUCUCUCUAUCUUCUCUCUACUCUCUGUGUUUCCCAAUUCAUGUGUAGACGAUGACAGAGCCUGCACUUUUAACCUCUGUUUCUGGGUUGUUACAUUAACUACCCUUCCCGCCAAAACUAACCAAGAAGCUCCUCUCUCACGUGCUUGUCACAAGUUGGCAUAAGUGAGCUUGAAACGGCAAUCACAGAUGUCGUUCUUGAGCUAACGAGAUUUCAGCUUCACUACACGUGCAAACCACGUGUAUUACUUAAAGGUUGAAUGACCAAAGAGAGGAUGUCGGUUUUACUCUGAAGAACUCCUCAAGCGACAAGUCGGCUGAGACUAACUCCUCUAAACGACUUGUAGCACUUGAGUUUCGAGUUCACUGUUUAUCAAUCUCCACCUUGAACUCAGAACUCUAGCUACUCAUGUUUACUUCAUUCUCUUCCAUUUGCAGCUAAUCAGAAGCUGCAAAUCCCUACUAAGCUCAAACAGAAGUUGAGCUUGGCAGAUGGCAUAGCUUUAGUCAACAUAUCAGCUGGAUUUUGAUCAGUGUGAACCUUGAGCAUCUUCACAAUUCCCUUGGAAACUUCAAGUCUAACAAAAUGCAGCUUUACAUCGAUAUGUUUUGUUCUUUCGUGAUGGGUCUGGUUUUUACUCAAAUGUAUUGCACUCUGGCUAUCACAAUAUACUUCAACUGUUUCUUGUUUUGCUCCUAACUCAGAGACCAUUCCUUUUAACCAGAUGGCUUCCUUAAAAGCUUCUGCAGCUGCUGUAUAUUCGGCUUCAGUUGUGGACAAAGCUACCACACUUUGCAGUGUAGCUUUCCAAUUCACAGUGCAGCCUCCCAAAGUGAAUAUAAAACCUGUCUGAGACCUCAUUUUAUCAAGAUCUCCAGCGAAAUCUGAGUCAACAUACCCCACCAGCUUGUGCCCUUCCUGUUUUAACCCUCCAUAUAGCAGACCAAACUCCAUAGUGCCUUUCAGGUACCUCAUUAUCCAUUGGACUGCCCUCCAAUGUUCAUAACCUGGAUUUGCCAUGAAUCUACUCACUACACUCACAACAUGUGAGAUAUCAGGUCUAGUGAGAACCAUGGCAUACAUUAGAUUCCCAACUGCACUGGAGUAAGGUAUCCUUGCCAUUUUUCCUUGCUCUGCAUCAGUUUGUGGACACUGUGCAGCAGACAGCUUGAAGUGAUUUGCCAAAGGUGUUUGAACAGACUUAGAUUCAUGCAUCCCAAACCUAAGUAACACCUUUUUAACAUAGCCCUGUUGGGUUAGAAACAUAAGCUUCCUUCUCCUGUCUCUGAUAAUUUCCAUACCUAAGAUCUUCCUUGCAGCUCCAAGAUCUUUCAUAUCGAAUUCACUGCUCAAGAGGUCCUUUAAAUGACUGAUUUCAUUUAUGCUGUGACAUGCUAUAAGCAUGUCAUCCACAUACAGCAUAAGAUAAAUCAUCUUUCCAUCACCAAUGUCCUUAAAGUACACGCAACAAUCAUAAUUGCUUCUCUUAUAGGCAUGUUUUGUCAUGAAACUAUCAAACUUCAAGUACCAUUGCCUAGGAGACUGCUUUAAUCCAUAUAAAGAUUUCUUUAGUAAGCACACAUGAUCUUCCUUGCCAGACACCACAUACCCCUCAGGCUGCUCCAUUACAAUUUCUUCUUGUAAUUCACCAUGCAGAAAGGUUGUUUUAACAUCCAUCUGCUCUAGGUACAAGUCUUGAAUGGCAACUAAAGCUAAGAUGACUCUGAUGGAGGCAUGUUUCACAACUGGAGAGAAGAUUUCAUUGAAAUCAAUCCCCUCUCUUUGUGUGAAACCUCUUGCUACCAGCCUAGCCUUAAACCUACUAGGUUCAGCAUCAAAUAUCCCUUCCUUAAUUUUGAAGAUCCAUUUGCAGCUAACAGUCUUCCUUUUCUCUGGUCUAACUAUCAGUUUCCAAGUUCCAUUUUUCAUUAGUGAUUCAAUUUCCUCAUCCAUAGCCUUCUUCCAUUUCAGCUUAUCCCUGUUGUUUAUAGCUUCUUUAUAGGUUCUUGGCUCUUCUUCAUUUAUCUCUUGUGCAGCUGUUAAUGCAUAAGCUAUCAAAUAUGCUACUGCAUACCUCUUAGGUGGUCUUACAGCUCUCCUCUUUCUAUCCCUGACCAACUGAUAAGAGUUAUUUUCAUUCUCAGCUGGCUCUGACUCCUGAACACCAUCAGAUCCAUCAGCAACCCUUCCUGCAUCUUCUUCAGAUUCUGAUUCAGUCAUAUCUUGCUCAUGGGACUCCACCUGAAACUGAAUACUCCCAGGUUUUAUUUCUGAUCUAUACUCUUUGGAUUCAGUGGCUUUGGAAUUGUUCAAGAUUUCUGACUCAUUGAAAGUUACAUCCCUACUGAUAAUGCAUUUUGGUGGCUUCAGAUCAAUGCACCAUAGCCUAUAGCCUUUAACUCCAUCAGGGUAUCCCAAAAAUCUACACUUUAAGGCUCUUGGCUCCAAUUUGCCUUGUUUGACAUGUGCAUAAGCAACACAGCCAAAGAUUCUUAGUUUAGAGUAAUCAGCAACCCUUCCAGACCAUAGCUCGAUAGGUGUUUUGCAUUCUAUUGCUGUAGAUGGGCUUCUGUUUACCAAGUAGCAUGUUGUGUUUAAGGCCUCUGCCCAGAGUGACUUAGGCAGCUUUGAGUAUAGCAGCAUACACCUCACGUUGUCCAUUAAGGUUCUAUUCAUCCUCUCAGCAAGACCAUUUUGCUGAGGUGUGUGUAUGACUGUUUUGUGCCUCAUAAUCCCAUGUCUUUCACAGAAGUCCCCAAACUCUUUAUUGCAGAAUUCCAUUCCAUUAUCUAUUCUUAGAGCUUUUACUUUCAAACUUGUUUGUGUUUCUACCAGAAUUUUCCAUCUCUUGAACCUUUCCAAAACUUCAUCUUUGGUUUUGAGUACAUACACCCAAACCAUCCUUGAAUAGUCAUCUAUUAGGGAUAAGAAAUACCUACAGCCACCAAGGGAAUCUACCUGUGCAGGUCCCCACAGAUCAGAGUGUAUAUAUGCAAGCCUCUCUUUGGUAGAAUGAACUGCAGAUUCAAACUUGAGCCUGGAAGCCUUCCCUAGAAUACAGUCUUCACAGAACCCCAAAGAACUUAGCUUGUCACUUCCAAACACCCCCUUCUUUUGAAGCUCCUUCAGUCCUCUCUCCCUCAUGUGCCCCAACCUCAAGUGCCAUAGUUUUGCUUUAUCUUCACUCUUCUCAGUGACACUUGCCUCUCCAACAGUUGUAUGUCCAUUAAGCACAUACAAACCAUUUUGCUUGGUACCUUUCAUUAUGACUAUUGAGCCUCUGAUAACUUUUAAUGUCCCAUUUUCAGCCUUAAUGACACAUCCAGUUUGAUCAAGCAUGCCAAUAGAUAUUAGGUUCCUUUUGAGUUCAGGAACAUGCCUAACCUGAGUCAGUUCUCUAACCAUGCCAUCAUACAUCUUAAGGCUUACAGUCCCAAUCCCAACUACUUUACAAACUGAAUUAUUUCCCAUCAGCACCAUACCCCCAUCACAGGACUGAUAUGUAGUAAAGUAAUUUCUAUUUGGACUCAUAUGAAAAGUACAUCCAGAGUCUAGUACCCACUGACCUUGAGUUUUUUCUUUUGUGGCAAUGAGGACUUCAGCUGUCUCAAAACUGGUUUCUUCUGUGGCUAUUGCUGCAUUUCCAGAUUUUUCUUUUGAUUCCUUUUGUUUUGUUUUUCUCUCAGGGCAAUCCCUCUUGAAAUGCCCUUCUUUGUGGCAGUGAAAACACUUCAAGUGUUUUUGCUUUGACUUUGAUCUUCCUUGCUUCUUUCCUUUGUAUUCUCUUUUUUCAGAUCUUCCCCUUGCCAUCAGCCCUUCACUUGAUUCACUCUCUGAGUUAUCUUGUUUGUCUUUUAACUUCUUGGUACCAAGAGCAGAUUUAACCUCUUCCAAGGAGAGUGAUUGCCUUCCAUAUAACAAGGCAUCCACAAAAUGUUCAUACGAUUUUGGUAAAGAACUGAUUAACAGCAAAGCCUUGCUCUCAUCACUCAGUCCUUCAUCAAUUGUUUCCAGUUCAUCACAAACUUUAUUAAACUCAUCUAUGUGUUCAUCAAGUGAUGCUCCUUCAAUCAUCCUCAGUGAGAACAUCUUUUUCUUGAUGUAUAGCCUGUUUGCUAAAGACUUUGUCAUAUACAAUUGUUCCAGUUUUGCCCAGAGCCCAGCAACAGUCUUUUCUUUUGCAACUUCCCUUAUCACUGAGUCACCAAGACUGAGGAUGAUAGUGCUUCUUGCCUUUUUGUCAAUCUCAGCCAUCUGUUCUGGAGUUCUUGAAGAAGAAGCUUCUGCAUUUUCACUCUUGAUGACUGGAUCAAUGGCAUCUCCCAGACCUUGUGUGAUUAACAAUGCUUCCAUCUUGAUCCUCCACAUAUUGAAGUCAUUCUGACCCGUGAACUUCUCAAGAUCCACCUUGUUUGUCAUUUCUUGAACCUUGAUACAGAAAAGAGGGCUCUGAUACCAAUUUGUUGUGAAUUUGGCUUUGUUACGACUAACCAAAUUCUCCCCAAGACACUAAUUUUGUAUCAAAUGGUUUGAGAAUUAACAGCACAGAUUAUCCAGUAACAAAUCACAUGCAAGAACCAAAGCAUUAAAGAAACAAAGUGACACCAAGUAUAAGUGGUUCAGCACCAAGAUGUGGUGCCUACAUCCACUGGAAACAAAGCAACAGUCUUUCACUAUUUAGUUCACAAAACAAUACAAGAAUAAGAAUUGAUUACAGAGAACAAGAACUUGUAAACCCCUUUCUCUCUCUAUCUUCUCUCUACUCUCUGUGUUUCCCAAUUCAUGUGUAGACGAUGACAGAGCCUGCACUUUUAACCUCUGUUUCUGGGUUGUUACAUUAACUACCCUUCCCGCCAAAACUAACCAAGAAGCUCCUCUCUCACGUGCUUGUCACAAGUUGGCAUAAGUGAGCUUGAAACGGCAAUCACAGAUGUCGUUCUUGAGCUAACGAGAUUCCAGCUUCACCACACGUGCAAACCACGUGUAUUACUUAAAGGUUGAAUGACCAAAGAGAGGAUGUCGGUUUUACUCUGAAGAACUCCUCAAGCGACAAGUCGGCUGAGACUAACUCCUCUAAACGACUUGUAGCACUUGAGUUUCGAGUUCACUGUUUAUCAGAUCCUCCAUUAGCUCAGUAUUUGAUAAGCUCAGUUGGAUCAGACUUGGGGGAAAUUGGUAUUCAGACAGGACCAUCCGUGACGGCUUGCUCUCAUUCACCAGCUUCAAGCAUUCAAGUUUGUGGAGUUCGCAAAGGCUUUUGGAAACCCCAGAUUGAUAGUAACUCAAAUCUCCAGAUAUCCGAAGAGUCCGAACACUAGGUAGUCUGAACAAUAUAUCAGGAGUACAACUACUAGGGUUUAAAGCAGAUGUGAAAAUGAGAUUUUUCAGAGAGCUAGAAUAAUUUUUUGGAGGUGCGGGCAAAGUGAUAGAACCAAAGUUUAGAUGCAUGAGUUUUUGCAUCAUCCAAAUAUCCUCUGGUGACUGAUCUAUGUGGCUAGAUGGCAUUUCUAGUGUUUCAAGGUUUAAAAGGGUGCAUAGCAGUGAAGGAAGGCAUUUGAGCGAAGGGAUAUUCAAUUUCAAAUACUUCAAAAGAUAUAAAUUUUCUAAUCCGGGUGGAAAUUGGUCGAGAACUGCAGAACCGAAGUUCAAUACCCGAAGGUGUUUGAACCUUUUAAAAAAAUUCUCGCAAUCUUUCGGAUUAAGAUGAUUGCUUUUUGAACUGUGAUUCAGAAAAGAUUGGAGAUACAUGUAAGAAUAUUCUAAAGGAAAGAAGUCAAACUGAUUACCCAAAAUGAUGCACCGUUUAAAAUUUGCCGGCGGUUCCUCAUCCACGUCAUGCAUCCAGACAAAUCCCGUCGCCUGUGCCAACAAUAACAAUGAAGUAUAUACAAAACUUGGAACAUAACACGCUUUAAUUGUGCCGCCGGCGCUUCUCUUACUCACUUGAAUGAAGCCGCGAUGGAUUAAUUGUUUCAAGUAAUGUUCGGCAGUUUCUUCACUGUUGUAUGGUAUGAAACCUUCAGCUACCUACAACUGAUAUAAUUGCCUCGUGGAUAUCUCAAUACUUGGAGGGAAGACACACAAAUAGAUGUAGCAGACUUUCAAGUGAAAAGGUAACUCCAUCACAGAAAAAAUUUGUCUCUCAACUGUCAAGCCGAAUUUUCCUUGGGUCAGGGUUUCUAAUGGCAUACUUCCAUAGUGUAGGAUGAAAAAUUGCCAGGCUUCAUGCUUUAAUCUGAUCAAUGGUCCUCCAAUGAGCACCGAAUCAAGCCGAAUUUUCUCUCCAUUUUCCAUUUCCAACGACGUAAGGAGUGUUGGUUCAGUGACCAAUAUCAAUACUCUGCUUCCAUUCUGAUCAUCAGGAAGAAGUUCUACAACAUCACUCCACAUCUCACUGUAAUGGAAGACAUCAUCAAGCACAAUAAAGUACUUCUUGUUUGUUAGGUAAUCUCGAAGAAUAGAUUUCUUGAAUUGAUAAUCUUUACCGAUAAUUACUCUAACCCGAGAUGGAGGCAUCACAGAUUUGAUUAUGUCUUCCAAUAUCUUGCCAAAAUCGUAGAGUAGAGAAACCCUGACCCAAGCAAGACAGUCAAAAUAGAACUUGACAUAGUUAUUAUUGUAAGUAUCUGCAGCAAAAGCAGUCUUAUCGAAGCCACUGCUGUCGAGAAUUGCAACCACUGAAAGCCCAGAUGGUCCCUCAAUCAAUAGAUCAAAAAACUUCUCUCAGCCCCGUUCAAAUUCACUGAUAUCGAGCGGAGGUUGUCCCUCACUUAAUAGGCGAAUGAUUUCGUUACUUUUUUCACUGAUAUCAAAACCAUUGUCGCCGGGUGGAAGUUGUUGCGUCCGAUUUCUAAUAUCAAUGAGUUCACUGUGGAGUCCAUCAUGAAGAGCCAUAUUAGUGCUGCUUUCACUUUCGUUUUAACUGUUUUGCUGCUGCAUGAUGUUGAUGAAGAACGUGUCAAUGGCUUCCUCAGAUUCAUGGACAAAGUCAUUGAUGUCCUGAAGAAUUUCCAGAAUGUCUGAUCUUUCAUCGUCUUCUUCAUCACUUUCUUCUAAGUCCAACAGUUGCAAUAAAGGCAAAGACAUUUCGGAUUCAACGAAUUCUUGUCUGAUGAGUUGAGACAAAAUCCGAGCCAUGUCAGCUUCAUAGUUUCCCAACAGAGUAGUAGUAAUAAUUUCAGACUCCGUAAGAAGGUUUUGAAAAAACGGGGCUAAAUUUGUUGAAUCAGGCAACGUUAACGUGCCUUCUUCACCUGCUAACACCCUUCUCAACCUCUCACAAAACAGUCGGAGGUGGACGUCCAGCAUAUCUCCUUCUCUCUGUAGCACCCAGAGGUAUUGUUUUUUGCUCCAAGAAAUAUUAAAAGGAUUGGUUCUAUCUCAAAGUGGUUACUGGUGUAAAAUUAAACGCCAUGGGAGAAUUUGAAUGGAAGAUGCCAAGGAACUGGCGAAGUGGCUAAAUUCCACAAAUACGGCAUUAUUGCUCAUUUUUAACUCAAAAAAUUGAUACGCGUUCAUUUAGCGAAAAGUCCAAGACGCGUGCCUUUUGAAAAGAAGAGGUAUCCAAUAGAUAUCCAACCUUUAUCUUAUUUUAAUUACUACCACGACAUGAUUGAUGGUGGUUAAAUCAAUUGUUUCUUUUUUAAUUUAAAGAAAUUUUCAUUAAAAAAAUAUUUUAAUAUCAAAUUGCCUUCAAUAGCGUAACUGCCGCAGGCCCAGUAACAGGAUUAAUUAAAUUUUUUUGAAUUUUUGGGCAUGGAAAGAGUAGUAUUAGACUUCAGUAAGCUAAGGUUGUUAUGUUAAAGAAUUGAUAUUGACAUAAUUUUAUUUUAGCUUUCGGGGAAAAAAAUAUUUGUUGACAAGCAAGAAAAUAUUUUUGUAUUUUACAAUUUAUUAUACUUAGUUUAUCAUAUUAAAGUAAUUUUAAUAAUAAAUAGACACAUAAUAUUACAAUAAAUAAAGUAAAGUUUAAAUUAUUUUGAAUAUUAUAAAAAAUAAUUUUAAUAUUAUUAAUAGGAAGACAUUUUGUUAAUUUUAAAAUAUUUUUAACCUAAAGGUUUAUUUAAAAUCUUUAGAAAUCUCCAUCCCACAUCUACCCUAUUAAACAAGUUGAUGGAAAUUGAACAAUUGCUUUUUGAAGUGUACCCAUUGAGUUAUGUUCAUUACUGGUCAUUGUCUAUUCUUUCUAAGAGCCACUUGUUUUGAGCAUUAGCAAUCCUAUCUGGACUACUCCAAUUAUUGAUGUAACUCCAAUGGUUGCAUCAACAGUUGAAUGUAAGAUAGUGUUAGUUCUUUUUUGAGAAUUUCUUUAUUUGUUUCUCCGUUGCAGCGUAUUAGUAUAAAUUUCUUUACCUUACAGAUCCUACAGUCUUCCUGUUAAUGAAUUCGCUGAGGCAUUAUUGAUCCAAUCUCAGUGAAGUAAUUGUGGGUGAAAGAAAAAAUAAAGGAUAAGAGAACGUAGCUCAAGUGCGGCAAACCAUACAUGCAUGAACAAAAGCCAGCAAAUCCAAAUGAAAACUUAAACGGAAGAUCUUAUUCAAGUUUGUCCCCAAAAGACAGCUGAAAUGAAAAAUAUUGACUAUCGAGUGGAUCAAUGCUGAAUUACAUUUGACCUGGAAAGCUUGGCUGCCGUUGCGAUGUUCCCCCUCUGAUUUUCCCUAAAACAAAUUCAGUUGUAAACAAUAACUGGGGUAGCAACAAUUUAUUCAUUAUAGAAAAUACCUAAAUUUUCAACCACCAAAUCCUCGUGUCUAAACUAAAAAACUCAUAUCUCUAAAAUCUAUAUACAAAAUGUCAUAAAUGAGGGUGAUCUCUCAAUUCGGUAAAUAAAUUCAUGCAUAAUAUUACCAAUAAUGAUAAAUUACAUAAUAAUUAUUAUAAAGAAUCAUAAAUUGGAAACAUUAAUCAUUUUAAAAUGUAUUACAUAAUAAAGAUAAAUCUUAUAAUAAGUUACGUUAGAACAUAAUAAAUAUUUUCAAUAAUAUAUAUAAUUAUUUAAGAAGUCUUUUAGCAAUAAAAUAUAUAUUUUUUCUUUUUCAGUUGAUCAUGUCAUAGCGUUAUCUAAAAUGUUAGCGAUAUCAUUAUUCUUCACUUUUCUCAAAAAAAAAAAAAGAAAAAAAAAAGAAACAUGAUUAACGUUUGGAGAAAAGUCAUGCCUUUUAAAAAGAAUAUGUAUACAAUACCAAUCCAUACUUUAUCUGACCAUGACAAAAUUGUUUAAAAUAGAUUUAAUGCACAAAUAUGAUGACUUUUGGCAGAAAUUAGUUUCGGAAAUAUUGGGAUGAAAACCAUAUUGGUUGAGACUUAAAAUUACUUAACUACCAUUUAAUAGAUAAAAACCAUAUUAGUUGAAAGUUAAAUUAAGAUUUAAAUGUUGAGAUAUCUAACGUUACUUAAUCAGAAUAAACAAUAAUCAAUUCAAAUUAUGACUAUCAUGUAGAAGCAAAUGUUUAUGCUUGGGUCUUUUACUUCUUGAAUUUGAUUGGAAAAAUUUCUGAGACAGAGAAGUGAGUGUUUUGGAUAAUAUUUUUCGGGAUUGAAACCACAAAUUGGUCGAGGAAAAUAAUUUUGGACAAAUUUUUAUUAUAUUGUAGCACCUUUUUGGUUCCUUUUGUGUCGGCAGCCCCUCACUAUUCUCUUAACCCUGAGUUUUGAGAUAGAAAUUUCCCGAACUCCAACCCCACAUCCACAGACAAGUUGAUUGAAACAAUUGCUCUUGUAAUUAAGAGGAUGAGAUAGGGUUCAGUUCUUAUCAUUGUCUGUUAUUUCUUUGAAUCAUUAUCUUAAUUAAUUACAUCAAUUGUUUCUUUUUUUAAUUUAAAGAAUUUUUCUUUAAAAAAAUAUUUUAAUAUCAAAAUGCGUUAAAUGGUAUUACUGCCGCAAUCCCAGUAACAGGAUUAAUUAAAAAAAUAUUCUUAGGAAGAUAUUUUGUUUAUUGUAAAAUCUUUUUAAUCCAAAGGUUUAUUUAAAAUCGUUAUAAUAAAUAAAAAUAUAAAAACAAAAUAAAUAUCAUAAUUUAAAAUUUUAAUAUUAUUUUAAAUAUUAAAAAUACUUUAAUGCUAUUAGUCUACUACACAGGUUAUAUUACUUAUAUUAUAUUUGUAUAAAUUAAAACUUUUAAAGUUAAAUCUUUAAUUACUAUAUUGAAAAGGUAUUAUGGUUAAAAAAAGUUUUGGCAUUUUUUUUUGAAAAUUUGAGGGUCUGCAUGACAAUUUGUCCAAAUCCUAGAGGUAUAGGUGUAUUUUUUUUUCGAUAAUUCAUUUUACUUUUGAGGGAAUCCGAUGAGAAAUAAGAUAAGAGAAACUUCAAUUUAAUGUUCUCUAGGGAAAACCAAGAACUAUUCAACUUUGUAUUUUUUGUUUGUAAAACAAAAAACAGUUUGCCAAAAAAGGUACCAAACAUAUCCUUAAUGUCUCACAUGAUUUCUUAUUAAGUCCAUACUCGAUAUAUUUAUACAUUUUAGGUAUUUUAGUUAUAAAAGAAGUUGGUCCUCCCUCUGUUUAUAAAAGGUAACUUUAUUUCGAGAUUACCACUAAAGUCUUACAAAGAAUUAGUGUAAUGUUAAGAGAGACUAACACAGUUUUCCAUUACCAUUUUGAAAAUAGAAAGAUAUGGAUGUGUGCAUUUAAUGGUGAGUUUACUUGCCGGAUUGGGGAAUCAGAAUCUGGAAUCGGAAUGAUUGAUGGUGUUUACUUCGCAAAUAUGGAGCAGGAAUCAGAAUUGGAAUGGUGGAGCCCACCACUAUUUGGGAAUGGGAGAUUGAUUCCCAUGGGGGAAGGUGGGAAUGAGUCUCCCAUUCCCUGGAUUAACCAUUUUGCCCUCCCUCAAAAUUAAAAAUGCCUACUUUGUCCUCUUUUAUAAUUAAUUAAUAUAAUAUUAUAAUUAAUUAAUUAAUAUAUAAAUAUUUUAUUAACUAUAAUUAUUAAAAAUUAUAGUUCUUGAAUAAAUAAUCACAAUAAUUAAUUUAUUAUUAUUAUUGUUAAUGAAUUAAUAUAAUUAUUACUAUUAAUUAAUAUAUUAAUAUAUUAUUAACAAUAAUAUAUUAAUAAUUAUUUUUCGUGAAUAAAUAAUCACAAUAAUUAAUAUAUUAUUAUUGUAAUUAAUUAAUUAAUAUACUAUUAUAAUAAUUAAUUCAUAUAUUAUUAUUAAUUAAUUAAUAAAAUUAAAAUUAUUAAUUAAAUAAAUAAUAUAAUUAUUACUACUAAUUAAUAUAUUAUUAAAAAUAAUUAUUAAUAAUUAUAAUUUUUGAAUAAAUAAUCACAAUAAUUAAUAUAUUAUUUUAAUUAAGUAAUUAAUAUUAAUAUUAUUAGUUAAUAUAUUUUUAUAAUAAUUUUUGAUAUAGUUAUUAUAAUUAAUUAAAUUUUUUUACAAUUAAUUAAUAUAUUAGUUAAUAAUAAUUAUGACAAUAAUCCAUUAAGUACUUUUUAGUAAUUUGUUACAAUCUAAUUCAUUCUGAUUCCGAUUUCAAGACAAAGUAAACACAUUAAUGGCAAUCUAGCUCAUUUCGAUUUUGAUUCUUACAGUUCAAGUAAACAACUUAUUUUGAUUCCCAUUACCUAUUCCCAUUCCAGCCCAUUCUCAUUUCUGCCCAUUUCAAUUCCAGCUCAUUCCGAUUCCAGUUUAGUAAACGCAGCAUAAGAGUUAUCAUGAAAAUCAUACAAUUUAAUUUCCUGAAAUAUAUAUUUUAUUCACAUGUGCCAAAAGAAUAAAUAGAUAGAAAGUAAAUUUACAAUCCUCACUCCCUCAUAAUUGUUAAAGUGAAUAUGCAUUACAACUGUGAACUGUCACUACUUUAGCCCCUUUUUUUUUUUUUUCAAUUAUAGUGUGAUGGAGACAGUGAACAUUAAGGAUAAAGUGCUCUGCUGAAAGCCAAACUUCCUUUGGCUAAUUAAUUUAGAAGUAAAGCAGAGAAUAAAGUCCUUGAUGCCUUCUGAAAUUAGAAAUACAUUUUAUAUGCUUUAAUUAUGAUUAUUUGGUAGACUAUUGACCAAAAGACAUGUUAAAGUAUAAAACAGAGCGAUCAAAGAAAAAAAAAAAAGGAGCGUUUGUGACGUAGAAUAACAAUUUGUAAGUAAAGUCCUAAUUUGAGUUGUCAAAAAGCAAAUAUAACAGAGAAGGUAAGAGAGAUGCAAAAAGGGGAAAUUUACAGUAAUAACCAUUAAAGUUUUGAUUUUUUUCAUCUUAACCCCUUAAAAAUAUUUCUAUCAACAUUAGCCAUAAAACAACUUUUGAGACCAAAAUACCUCUCCUUCAUCUCUCCCCCAAAAAACUUGUUCUGUGGCCAAAAAGCUUGAUUUUUUUUUUAAAAAAAAAAUCUAAUCUUUUGCGGCUUGUUGCAUGAUUUUAAGAUGAAAAAUUUGUCAAGUUGUAUUCUAUCAGCAUUAUUAUUAUUAAUGCUUUCACCUGCAAAUUCAUUGAUAUUCAUUCCCCCUUCCAUAAUCUUCGUGCCCAAAUUGCUUCUAACUUUUCUCGACUUCGACGCGGGUGAGAGAUUGCUUUUCCUUUCACCUUUUUGUUUUCUUCCGUUUAGCUUCAUUAUUUUAAAAAAAAAAAAACCGAAACAGAACAGAAACAAAAGCUUCAGCCCGCGGCCACCGUCCAAGGCUGCCGGCUCUCGUUUUCCGUCACCGAUCCGGACGCAACCACCACUAAACGGAUCAUAAAUCGCCGGCCAUCAAACUCCAAGCAUCGGACACCGUUGAUUAGCCACAGAUCGCCGGAAAAGCAACCAAAACAGCCGCGCCAACCGUGCCGUCAUUCACCGGUUUCCGCCGCGAUUUAGCCAGCACCACCGUAAUCAAUCCACUCCUCUCCACGAGCUCAACCUCUUUCGUUAUUCCCCACCUCCGAUCGACCAACCCAUCGCCGGAAUCUAAGCAUCACCAAACAGUUACAACUUAUCUCAAAUUUCCGGCCAAAACGCCACCGUUUCCGACGAAUCACAAACAUCAUCAUGAACAACUUCAAGUUUUGGUGCGACAGGGUGCUUGUCGCACCAAAACUUGGUGCGACGGGUGCCUGUCGCACCAAGGCUUGGUGCGACGGGUGCCUGUCGCACCAAGGCUUGGUGCGACGGGCACCCUGUCAUCAGAUUCAUCCUCCGACUCAGAUCAAUAAGUUUGAAAAUAACUCAUGCCACGAUGCCGAUUAGUUUUGGUCUGUAAAGAAGGGUAAUUUAGGGAGAAAGGCUUGUGUUUGGCUAAUGUUGAUAGAAAAAAAUUCAGAGGAUUAGUUGCAAAAAUAACAAAAUAUUUAUGGUUAUUUUCGUAAAUUUCCCCAAAAAGAGAACUAUUAGCUUAUCUUGAUUUCCCCACUAUAUUCAUUUUCGAUGCUUUUCAAACGAGAUUCUUUUAAUCCUUCUGGCGUCUGCAGCCCCUGCUCUUCUUAUAAAUCUCCAUCCCACAUCUGCACUACGAACAAAUUGACUAAAAUUAAAUAAUGUUGGAGACGAGGGAUGAGCUGUCAACUUAUUAAAAAAAACUCAUGUAUAAUAUUAUCAAUAAUAUAAAAUAUAUAAUAAUUAUUAUAAAGAAUCAUAAAUUAGAAAAAUUAAUUAUUUUACAAUCUAUUUCUUAAGUAAGAUAAAUCUCGUAAUAAGUUAAGUUUAAUGUAAAAAAAUAUUUUCAAUUUAUAAUCAUUUAAGAAGUCAUUUAACAAUAAAAUCUUUCUUUUGAUCAGGUGGCCAUGCCAUAGAGUAUCAUCUAUAUUCGUGGUGAUAUUAUUAUUACUCAAUAUCCUCAAAAGACACGAUUUAACAUUUAGAGAAAAUUCCUGCCUUUUAAAAAGAACAUGUAUGCAAUAGCUAGCCACACUUUAUUUUACCACGACAAAAUUGAUAGUGAUUAAAUCAAUUUUCUCAAUUAAAGAAAUUUUUUUAAAUUGAUUUAAUGCACAAAUAUGAUGAGUUUUUGCAAAAAUUAGUUUUGGAAAAUAUAGUGAGAGAGAAUGGUGACGAUUAUUUUUCAGAUGUGCAAAUAGCCUAAACAUAAUCUCUAAUACCAAUAUCCUUGUGCAUCUUAACACCUUUCAUGAUAUUCUUUCAUUCAUGGCCAUUUGUUCAAUAUUUGAAUUUGAUUAUUAAAUUAUGUUCAAUAAUGUUAGAGACCCCAAUAAUUGGGUACCAACUUAAAUCCCAAUGCUAUGUGUCAUUAACAAAUGUUGUGUCAUUUAUCAUUAUUGAAUGAAUAAUUCGUUAAUUUAUUGAUAAAUGAAAAUUUAUUAAUUUAAAGAGAGAUUGUUUUUUUUUGGUUUUAAGAAGAGUUUUGUUGGUACAUGUACAUACUUAUAAAGAAAUAAACUUGUAAUUAUACUAUAUCUUUCUUUCUUUGUUCAGUUUGGUGGGAUAUUGUGAUAAAUCAUUGGAUUAAAAUGCAUUUCUAAAUUGAAACUUGUUAAAAUCUAAUUUAUUUAGGAAACACAUAUUAUUUGUCAGUCGUACUUCUCAAAUAAGAUUAAAACUCACCCAAUUCAAUCCAUCAGAUUCCGUAAGGAUAUAACUGGAUGUCAUACCGCCACUCCAUAUCCUCGAAAGUCCGUAGUCCUUGUCUCAACUGUGUCUGGGGCCAGUGUAAGUCCAAUUUGCGCAAGCUCUUUAUGCACCACAGCUCUUCUGGAAGCUUUCUGAAGUAAGCACAUGGGUUGACAAUUAAGCUUUCAAGUUUCGGCAUUGCUCCAGCCCCCAUCGUCCACUCAUCUAGCCAAUUUACUCAUGAAUUGUUGUUCAUAUUAGCAAUUUGAUUGAAAGUGUGGCUGCACUAAUUUUCUAGAUGAAUUUUUUCCUACAUGCUUGUUCCCGUGUGACCCAAAAUCCUGCUACAUCAGUUGUAUUAGAAAUUAAUCAACUGGGUUACAAUUAUGCAUCCCCACCAAUAUUUAAGCAAUUUAAUUACAGAAACAUUUCUUGAGGAAAAAAACUCAUAUCGCCACUAGGCUUUUAAUGAGGCUCAUUUUUAUGAAUUUGGAUGGCAUUAGAUAUCUCUCCGAAUAUUGGUGGGAGUAGAUCGCAGAUCUCUGGGCUAUACUACAAAGUGUAUGUACGUUGACUCUCAAUAAAUACAAACGAUUCUCUGAUAUGAUUCAAAACAUCAGUGCAUGCAUCAUUUUAAUGAGAAAGAAUAUUCUAAGAACGAAAUUGAACGUGCAAUCAGCAAUUAAAAUGAAGCCAGAAAUGUACAUGCAUGAGGAAUUUUUCUUAGAAGAUUGAUAUUUCUUUGACUAGCAAACCAUACAAGUCCAAAGCUAGCAAACCAUACCUGCAAGUCGGGGGUUUAAAUGGAGUACUUCUAAGCAUAAAACAUUGAUUAAAACAGAAUACACACAUACAUACCAGCAAAUUCAAAAUAGCAAAAGGAGUGCAAAAGUUCAAGUUUGUAGACAACAUUGCAACCAUGGCAUGUUUAUAGCAAAUCCUCGAAAUCUGCUAAAUAAAACAAUGCCCUGUCUCAUGAAUCAAUGCUGAAUUAAAAUUGAAACUGAAAGUCUGGCUGGCGUUGUUUCCCUCUCCAAUUUUGCCUACAUAAGUGAAAAUAAGAAUAAUAAAUGAAAAUCUGCUUUUACGGUUCUUCUUUGAUAGAUAAAAGGGGGAUCUUUCUUUGUUUCUCUGCUGCAAUGUGUGCCUAUCCCACUCUGUUUUGCCACCCAAGCUGAGUCUAUGUUGAGACAUAAUUUUGACAUCCGAAGCAAUCUCAAUUAGUUUGGCAAUUUUAUGACCUCCUUGAAGGUUUUAUGAUAAACAUAAAUCUACUGAGAAAGUGGGAAAAAAAGAAAAUGCAUAUAAAAAUAUGAGUUAUCAGAUAAGAUUAAAACUCACCCAAUUCAAUCCAUCAGAUUCCAUAAGGAUAUAACUGGAUGUCAUACCGCCACUCCAUAUCCUUGAAAGUCCGUAGCCUCUGUCUCAACUCUGUCUGAGGCCAAUGUAAAUCCAAUUUUCGCAAGCUCUGUAUGCACCACAGCUCUUCUGGAAGCUUUCUCAAGUAAGCACAUGGGUUGACAAUUAAGCUUUCAAGUUUCGGCAUUGCUCCUGCCCCCAUCGUCCACUCAUCUAGCCAAUACAUUGAUUUCAGGUGCAAAACCUUAAGUUCGGGAAAGCUACUCAAGCCAACACAAGCAAGCUUUCUUCCUAAAUACGAGUUCUGCUUCAGUUUCAGCACUCGAAGGAGUGGAAGAUUUUCCAGAAUUGGCGUGGGAUCCUCCAUUAGCUCAGUAUUUGAUAAGGUCAGUUGGCUCAGACUUGGGGGAAAUUGGUAUUCGGACAGGACCAUCCGUGAGGGCUUGCUCUCAUUCACCAGCUUCAAGCAUUCAAGUUUGUGGAGUUCGCAAAGGCUUUUGGAAACCCCAGAUUGAUAGUAACUCAUAUCUCCAGAUAUCCGAAGAGUCCGAACACUUGGUAGUCUGCCCAAUAUAUCAGGAGUACAACUACUAGGGUUUAAAGCUGAUAUGAAAAUGAGAUUUUUCAGAGAGCUAGAAUAAUUUUUUGGAGGUGCGGGCAGAGUGAUAGAACCAAAGUUUAGAUGCAUGAGUUUUUGCAUCAUCCAAAUAUCAUCUGGUGACUGAUCUAUGUAGCUAGAUGGCAUUUCUAGUGUUUCAAGGUUUAAAAGGGUGCAUAGCAGUGAAGGAAGGCAUUUGAGCGAAGGGAUAUUCAAUUUCAAAUACUUCAAAAGAUAUAAAUUUUCUAAUCCGGGUGGAUAUUGGUCCAGGACUGCAGAACCCAUGUUCAAUACCCGAAGGUGUUUGAACUUUUUACAAAAAUUCUCGCAAUCUAUCAGAGCGAGACGAUCGCUUUCUGAACUGUUAUUCAGAAAAGAUUGGAGACGCGUGUCAGAAUAUUCUAAAGAUAAAAACUGAAUCAGAUCUUCCCAAAUGAAGCACCGUUUAACAUUUGCCAGUGGUUCCCUUUUCCUUUCACGCAUCCAGACAAAUCCCGUAAUCUCUGCCACCAAAGCCAAUGAAGUAUAUACAAUACUUGGAACAUAACACGCUUUGAUUAUGCCUCCGGCUCUUCUCUUACUCACUUGAAUGAUGCCGCGAUGGAUUAGUUCUUUCAAGUAAUGUUCGGCAGUUUCUUCACCGUGGUAUGGUAUGAAACCUUCAGCUACCCACAACUGAUAUAAUUGCCUCGUAGAUAUCUCAAUACUUGGACAGAAGACAUACAAAUAGAUGCAGCAGACUUUCAAGUGAAAAGGUAACUCCAUCACAGAAAAAAUUUGUCUCCAAAUUGUCGGAAUCGCUUCGCCUCGAAAAUAAUUUUCUAAUGGCAUACUUCCAUAGUGUAGGAUGAAAAAUUGCCAGGCUUCAUGCUUUAAUCUGAUCAAUGGUCCUCCAGUGAGCACCGAAUCAAGCCGAAUCUUCUCUCCGUUUUCCAUUUCCAACGACGCAAGGAGGUUUGGAUCAGUGACCAAUAUCAAGACUCUGCUUCCAUUCUGAUUAUCAGGAAGAACUUCUUCAAGAUCAUCCCAUAUCUCACUGUGAUCAAAGACAUCAUCAAGCACAAUAAAGUACUUCUUGUUUGUUAGGAAAUCUCGAAGAACAGAUUUCUUCAAUUGAUAAUGUUCACCGAUAAUUACACUAACCCGAGAUGGAGGCAUCACAGACUUGAUUAUGUCAUCCAAUAUCUUGCCAAAAUCGUAGAGUAUAGAAACCCUGACCCAAGCAAGACAGUCAAAAUAGAACUUGACAUGAUUAUUGUUGUAAGUAUCAGCAGCAAAAGCAGUCUUGUCGAAGCCACUGCUGUCGAGAAUUGCAACCACUGCCAGCCCAGAUGGUCCCUCAAUCAAUAGAUCAAACAACUCCUCUCUGCCCCGUUCAAAUUCACUGAUAUCAAGCCGACGAUGUCCCUCACUCAAUAGGCGAAUGAUUUCGUUACUUUUUUCACGGAUAUCAAAACCAUUGUCGCCGGGUGGAAGUUGUUGCGUCCGAUUUCUAAUAUCAAUGAUUUUAGUGUGGAGUCCAACAAGAAGAGCCAUAUCAGUACUGCUUUCACUUUCGUUUUCACUGUUUUGCUGCUGCAUGAUGUUGAUGAAGAAUGUGUCAAUUGCAUCCUCAGAUUCAUGGACAAAGACAUUGAUGUCCUCCAGAAUUUCCAAAAUAUCUGCUCUUUCAACAUCUUCUUCAUCGCUUUCUUCUAAGUCCAACAGUUGCAAAAAAGGCAAAGAUAUUUUGGAGUCAUCGAAUUUUUCUCUAAUGAGUUGAAACAAAUGCCGAGCCAUGUCAGCUUCAUAUUUUCCCAGCAGAGUAGUAGCAAUAAUUUCGGACUCCGUAAGAAGGUUUUUAAAAAGUGGAGUUAAUUUUGUUGAAUCUGGCAGCGGCAACGUGCCUUCUUCACCUGCUAACACCCUUUUCAACCUCUCACAAAACAGUCGGAGGUGGAAUUCCAGCAUUUCUCCUUCUCUCCGUAGCACUCAGAGGUAUAGCUGAAAGAUUAAACACCAUGGAAGAAUUUGAAAGGAAAAUGCCAAGAAAUUGUGUAAGUGGCUAAAUUCCACAAAUAUGACAUUAUUGCUCAUUUUUUAACUCAAAAAAAGGGUACGCGUUCAUUUAGAGAAAAGUCCAAGACGCGUGCCUUUUGAAAAGAACAGGUAUCCCAAUCGGUAUCCAACCUUUAUCUUAUUUAAUUACUACCAUAACAUAAUUGAUGGUGCUUAAAUCAAUUGUUUCUUUUUUAAUUUAAAGAAUUUUUCAUUAAAAAAAUAUUUUAAUAUCAAAUACCCUUCAAUGGCAUAACUGCCGCAAGCCCAAAAACAGGAUUAAAUAAUUUUUUUUUUUGAAUUUUUGGUCAUGGAAAGAGCAGUAUUAAACAUCAGAAAGCUAAGGUCGUUAUGUUAAAGAAUUGAUAUUGACAUAAUUUUUUUUGGUUUUCGGGGAAAAAAAAAUUGUUGACAAGCAAGAAAAUAUUUUUAUAUUUUACAAUUUAUUAUACAUAUUUUAUCUUAUUAAAGUAAUUUAAUAAUAAAUAGAAACAUAAUAUUACGAUAAAAAAAUUAAAGUUUAACUUAUUUUGAAUAUUAUAAAAAAUAAUUUUAAUAUUAUUAAUAUGGGGACAUUGUAUUAAUUUUAAAAUUUUUUAACCCAAAGGUUUAUUUAAAAUGUUUAUUAUAAAUACAAAUAUAAAAUUAAAUAUCAUAAUUUAAAAUUUUUAAUAUUAUUUUAAGUAUUAAAAAUAUUUUAAUGUUAUUAGUCUACUACAUAGAUCAUAUUACUUAUAUAAUAUUUGUAUUAUUAAAAAUUCUUAAAAUCAAAUUUUUAGUUAGUAUAUUCAUGAGGUAUUAUGGUUAAAAAAAAAAAGACCUUAUUGUUACUUUUUAAAAAAUUGAGGGCCUUCGUGAUAAUUUUUUCAAAAAGAAAAUACUUGGUAUCUGGGAGGGAUAGAGAAAUAGGACUCCCAAAAUCUCUCACCCUUUUUUAAUUAAAAAAAUUAAAAUAUCAAUAAAAAAUAAUAAAGAAAAUAGAAUUUUAUCUACUCCUUACUUCAUUUUUGCAACUCUCUCACCAUCUCUGUCGAGCAGCCCUCUCUCUCACUCUCUCACUCACACAGUCUUUUUCACGAUUUGAAAUUCUUUGGCCCUUUGCAUUACAAGAAAUUAACGCUUUGGUUCUCCCAAGGGUAGAUUGGUUUUAUUGGGAAGCUAUUAAUUAGAAGGAGGAAAAAGGACUAUAUUUAGAAUAUGAUUUGUUGGAGAAUCUCAGAGUUAGUCAAUUUUCAAGCCACACUUUCAAUAGCCAACUGAUUUAGAAACCAUUAAUUACUUUAAUUUCCAUAAAUUGUAAUGACAGUGCAAAUGCAUCUGGUUGUGAUAGCUAAGGGUUAGCUUGAAGAAUUAAAUUUCAUAAGAUAUUACUGGAAAACGCUUUGCAGAUAACGUGUUGCUUCCUUUGCUAGGCUACAAUUUCAAAAUUCUCACGAGUUUUCCAUUGUUGUCACAAACCGAGAAAUUAUAAAAUACAUGGCCUGGUUCUUUGGCAAUGACCAUCUCAUCGUCGGCGGUCGCGUCGUCAUUGUCACUGGUCUUGCUGGACCGAGACAGUGAGAGAGAGGUUUGUUAGAUGGAGUUAGUGAGAGAGAGUUGUAAAGAUGGAAUGAUGAUAAAGGAUUUUAUUUUUUUUUAAUUGUUUUUAUUAAUAUUUUAAUUUUUAAAAUUAAAAUUUGCUGCCGUUUCUCUCGACUCUCAUAAUUUAUUUCAUUUUUAGGGAAUCCAAUGAGAAAUAUGAUAAAAGAACGUCAAUUACUUGUCAUUUUCAAUUUUUUUCUAUAAGCUAUUUAUUUCGAGCAUUAGUGAUCUUGUCUGGCUACUCCAAUUAUUGACGUAACUCCAGUGGCUGCAUCCACUGGAAAAAGUGGAUGAGAACCAUUUUUUUUUCAUAAAGGUAACUGCUCCAAUUAUUGACAUAAUUGAUGGUGCUUAAAUCAAUUUUUUUUUUUAAUUUAAAGAAUUUUGCUUUAAAAAAUAAUUAAUAUCAAAAUGCCUUCAAUGUUGUUACCGCCACAAGCCCAGUUAGAGGACUCAUUAAAAAUUUUAGAAUUUUUAGGCCUGGAAAGCGUAGUAUUAAACAUCAGAAAGCAAAGGUUGUUAUGUCGAAGAAUUGAUGUCGACAAAAUUUUAUUUUAGUUUUCGGAAAAAAAAAUAUUUUGUUGACAAGCAAGAAAAUAUUUUUUAUACUUUACAAUCUGCUAUACAUAUUUUAUCAUAUUAAAGUAAUUUUAAUAAUAUAUGGAAACAUAAUAUUAUAAUAAAUAAAUUAAAAUUAAAAUUACUUUGAAUUAUUGAAUAUUACAAAAAGAUAAUUUUAAUAUUAUUAAUAGGAAAACAUUUUUUAAUUGUAAAAUCUUUUUAAUACAAAAAAUCAUUUAAAAUCUUUAUAAUAAAUACAAAUAUAAAAUUAAAAAAUAUCAUAAUUUAAAUUUUUUAAUAUUAUUUAAAUAUUAAAAAUACUUUAAUAUUAUUAGUCUACUACAUAAAAUAUAUUAUUUAUAUUAUAUUCGUAUUGAUUAAAACGUUUUAAAGUCAAAUUUUUAAUUAGUGUAUUCAAAGGUAUAAAAGAUUUUAGUAUUAUUUUUUAAAAAAUUUCAGGAUAUGAAUGAUAAUUUUUUUCAAAUUUUAAAGAUGUAAGAAUCUUUUUUUCUGAUAACUUAUUUCACUUUUGAGAGAAUCCGAAAACGUUAAUUUAACAUUCUUUACCUUUAUCUUUUCAAAAAAAAAAAAAACAUUCUUUUUUUGAUAAGAAUGUUUUUUUUUUCUUUAAAAAAUAAUUAAUAUCAAAAUGCCUUCAAUGUUGUUACCGCCACAAGCCCAGUUAGAGGACUCAUUAAAAAUUUUAGAAUUUUUAGGCCUGGAAAGCGUAGUAUUAAACAUCAGAAAGCAAAGGUUGUUAUGUCGAAGAAUUGAUGUCGACAAAAUUUUAUUUUAGUUUUCGGAAAAAAAAAUAUUUUUUUACCUUUGUGAAAAAAGUGAAAAUCAAGAACUAUUCAAUUUUGUUUUUAUUUGUAAUUCAAAAACUUUAUUCAUUUUUGGAUGCUUUUCAAAAGAGAUUCCUUUAAAUCCUUUUGGUGUCUGCAGCUCCUGCCAUUCUCAUAAAUCUCCAUCCCACAUCUACACUAUCAAACAAGUUGAUGGAAAGUCUUAUAAAAAAAAAAAAGUUGAUGGAAAUUGAUCAAUUGCUUUUUGAAGUGGACCCAUUGAGUCAUGUUCAUUUCUGAUCAUUGUCUACUCUUUCUAUCAGCCAUUUAUUUUGACCAUUUGCGAUCUUAUCUGGACCUACUCCAAUUAUUGUUGGAACUCCAAUGGUUGUAUCUACAGUCGAAUGUAAUAUAGUGACAGCUCUUUCUUUGAGAAACUAGAGGGACCUUACAGUUCAUAUAAAUUUCGCUACCUUACAGUUCAUACGGUCUUGCUGUUAAUGAAUUUGCUGAGGCAUUAUUGAUCCAAUCUGAGUGAAGUAAUUGUGGCUGAAAAAUAAAUAAAGGAUAAGAGAACGUAGCUGAAGUGCUGAAGGGGCUAUUAAAGAAGAGUGUCACUUGAUCACAAUCACAUUGAUGCACAAUUCACUUGGCAAAUUUCGACUAUGCGUACUGCAAAUUCAGCCAAACCAUACAUGCAUGAACAAAACUAAAAUGUAGUUCUAAUCACAACUGCAGUUAUGAUGUUUACCCCUCUGAUUUUUCUCCAAAACAAAUUCAGUUCAAAACAAUAAUCAAAAUAGCCACAUUUUGUUCGUCAAAAUAAAUGCCCAAAUUUUCAAUUAACAAAUCAUCUUCUCUAAACUAAAAAGCCCACAUCUCUAAAAUCAAUCUACAUAAUGUUGGACAUGAGGGGUGAAUUGUUAACUCAGUAAAAAAACUCAUGCAUAAUAUUACUAAUAAUAAAAAAUAUAUAUUAAUCAUUAUAAAGAAUCAUAAAUUAGAAAAAUUAAUCAUUUUAUAAUUUAUUACACAAGUAAGAUAAAUCUCAUAAUAAGUUAUAACAUAAAAAAAACGUUAUCAAUAUAUAAUCAUUUAAGAAGUCAUUUAACAAUAAAAUCGUUCUUUGAUCAGUUGGUCAUGUCACAUAAUAUCAUCUAUAUUUAUGGUGAUAAUAUUAUUACUCAGUAUUCUCAAAAAACAUGAUUUAACAUUUAGAGGAAAUUCUUGCCUUUUAAAAAAAACAUGUAUGCAACAGCUACCCAUGCUUUAUCUUGCCAUGACAAAUAUUUUCUCAAUGAAAGAAAUUUUUUUAAAAAUUGAUUUAAUGCACAAAUAUGAUGAUUUUUCCAAAAAUUAAUUUUGGAAAAUAUAGUGAGAGAAAAUAGUGACGAUUAUUGUUUAGAUGUAUAAAUAGCCUAAACAUAAUCCUUAAUACCAAUAUCCAUAUGCAUCUUAUCAUCUUUCAUGAUGUUCUUUCAUUUAUGUCCAUUGGUUCAAGAUUUGAAUUUGAUCAUUAAAUCAUGUUCAAUAAUAUUAGAGAUUCCAACAAUUGAGUACCAACUUAAAUCCCAAUGUUAUGUGUCAUUGACCAAUUAUGUGUCAGUGACCAAUUUUGUGUCAUUUUGUUAUUAACUAGGUGAUGAAUUUCUAGUUGAUAAAAUCACUUAAAAAUAUCUUAAAAAUUAGACAAUAGUUUGCUUAAUUUUUCCAAGUUAACUGCUCAAGAUGCUCUAUUAUAAAUGAUAACCUAAUUAUAUUCAUAAAAAAUGAUAUAUUUUUUUGUGGUGUUGAUAAUGAGAUUAUCAUUCAACGUUUUAAAAUGUGAAAACAUAUGGAAGACGGUUGUAAAUUGAUUGAAUGAAAAUAUUUCAGUGAAGUCUCAAAAAUUUGGUACUUGUUGUCUUAUCGAAAGUUUUCUAAAUUAUAUUCGUGGCACAGCCACUAUCCAAACCAUACAAGUCCAAAGCUAUCCAAACCAUACCUGCAAGUCCGGGGCUUAAAUGGAGUACUUCUAAGCAAAAAAACAUUGAUUAAAAUAGAAUAUAUACAUACAGACACACAUACAUACCAGCAUAUUCAAAAUAGCAAAAGGAGUGCAAAAGUUCAAGUUUGUAGACAACAUUGCAACCAUAGCAUGUUUAUAGCAAAUCCUCAAAAUCUGCUAAAUAAAACAAUGCCCUGUCUCAUGAAUCAAUGCUGAAUUAAAAUUGAAACUGAAAGUCUGGAUGGUGUUGUUUGUUGAGAAUGUCAAAUAAAACGGCAUUGAAGGAAGUUUUCAAAGGCAGAAUCCGCACUUGUCAAAGACACGAUCCGCACCGAACGGAUCGACACAUUUCCUUCCGUAUUCACAUAUGUAAUCUUUGAAAAAAUGUAGCUUCUGCAUCUAUAAAUAACGCUCAGUGUAUAAUGUUUUAUUCAAGAAAUAAAAACAAGUUUCUACAUGGUAUCAGAGUCAUGAAUGCGCUCAAGUUUCUUCAAGUUUCGCUGCUCUGUUUGUCACAAAAACAGAGGAAACCAAAUUCGUCCCACAACCAUUUUUUCCACCAUUUUCUUCCUUAAAAUCAUUCCUAACAUUACAGAAAUCCAUGCCGAUCAAAAAACAUGAAAGACAAAUUACACAUGUGCAGUAACCAAUGAUCAUAUUUCGUUACUGUCAAACACAAUGCAUCUGAGCAAAACAUUGGAAGCCAACACCAGAAUACAUAUGAAUAAACAAUUAAAGAUAGAGAAAAAAGGCUUAAACCUUGGGGGAAAAAAGUGAAAAAACAUGAAAGACAAAUUACACAUGUGCAGUAACCAUCGAACUUAUCAGUGACAGCUGCAUCCAUUACAUUGCUCCAACAACACAAUGGCAAACCACCAGUUUCAAAUUGAGGAUAGCUAUCGAGAAUGAGAAAGUGUCCAAAACAUCAUAAAUAGACAUGUUCCUAUUGUGCAUAAUUUACAUUAUAGGCAAAUAUUCUUAUACCAUCAAAGGCAAAACAUGACACUAACAAUUGAUCCCCCCCCCCCCCCCCCCCCCCAACAACCAAAAAAAAAGGAAAAACAAUACAGAAAAGAUUGAAACAGAUAAGGCUACACUGAGCACAGGAUGCCAUGAAACAUAAUCCAGGAACCAAAUUAAUAAAAAAGGAAGCCAAACCAUUAUUUAACAAUCUGUUUUGUAUUUGGGAAAGUCUGAUAAAAUCUACUUAGGGAUAAUUAGAGAACUUCAACUAUUAAUCACACCUCAUAAAUGAACUAACAUUAACCAUCUACCAUCCCCACGUCACACAAACAUUCUCUAUACUUCUGAACCUAAUACUUCCAUCUUCAAUUGGGGGUUUUUUUUCUUUUUUUUUUUGGGUGGGGGGGGGGGGGGGGGGGGGGAAGCUAUCAAUUUUCUAAGCUUGCUUAGCUUCUGUGUGGGAUUGAAAUGCUGAUUUCGAAUCACUAACAGUAAAAUUGGAAGCUCAUGAAAAAACAGUUUUAUCUCAAAAUUACAUCUCGAUAUAAAUUCUCUUUUCAUUUCCUUCAACUUUCUAAUUAAGCUUAAAAAAUGUACCUUCAACCACAAAGGGGUUUAAAAUUUAAAAUAUAAAAAAUAAAUUCAGAUAACAAUAAUUAAUUUAAUUAAAAAUAUAAAUAGAGUUACAGAGAAAGAGAAAAUAGAGAAAGACCUAAUGUUGAGUCCUUUGGCGCAUGUCUCUUCAUAGGUCCGAACCAUUUCUUCGGGCGUGGGUUACGGCCGAGAUUGGAUAAUGAUGGAGUAGGAUAAGAUUAGCGAUAACGACGCCGAUGAAAUGGAAGGGUUUACCAGAGGAGUGGAUGCGAAGAGUGCAGGGACCGCCGCAGAGAGAGAGCGGCGGAGAGCGGCGACGGACGGUAGUGACCAGCGGAGGCGGAAGAUGGCGGUAUGGGCCAUUGCUUGCGCGUCGGUGAGUGUCUCGAGUGAGAGAGUGAAGGGUUUUGGGAAAUGAAAAAUGCAAAUGUUUGAUUUUGUUGCUAGAAACUUCUUCUGCCGCUGCCUUUUAUUUUCGCUAUAAUAAUAAUAAUAAUUUGUUAAUCAAAUAUUUUCUUAAAAAAGAUAAAUUUCUACAAGAAAAUUUAUAUUAAAUCAAAUUGUAAAAAUGUCUAUUAGGGUUAAUUUCUCCUUAAUAUUAUUAUUAGUUGAAGUAGAUUUUCGAAUUAGUCUUGAUAUAUUUCAGAGUUGUAUUAUAAAUGUAUAAGUAUCUGGAUUGCAAUUAUAUUUUUAAAAAAUAUAAUUUUUUUAAUUAUUGCACAAUAAAUGUAGAUAGUAUCUAUAAAAUAAUAUUAUUAGGACUAUGAAAAAAAUAUUAUUUUAGAGAAGUUAUUUAUUUAUUAUUGAAUGAAUAAUUUAUUAACUUAUUGGUAAAUGAAUAUUUACUAAUUUAAAGAGAGAUUUUUUUUUUGAUUUUAAGAAGAGUUUUGUUGGUACAUAUUCAUACUUAUAAAGAAACACAAAAAGUAGUUCCUCAAGUCAAUUGUAUUUGCUUUAAUUCGUAAUAAUAUAUCUUAAUCAAGAAACUUGUAAUUAUACUAUAUCUUUCUUUCUUUGUUCAGUUUGGUGGUACAUUGUGAUAAAUCAUUGGAUUAAAAUGCAUUUCUAAAUGAAAACUUGUUAAAACCUAAUUUAUUUGGGAACCAUAUUUUAUUUGUCAGUCGUAUUUCUCAACUUAGCAAGUUAUUUCUAACUUAUCGGUCUCUAUUGGUUUUCUUAAGUGCCUGUUUGAUAUGACUUAUUUAAUGGCAAUAAGUGCUUAUUUAAUCUCAUAAGCUCUUAUCAUAAUUUUUGUUAUUGUUUGGUUGUUUUUCUAAUAAAGUUUUUGAAGCUUAAAUAAGUAAUUUUACCUCUCUUAACAAAAGCUCAAAUUUUGAGUUUUUUGGGAGUAGAGAUUGAAAAACUUUUUCAAAUGUCAAAAUAUCUAUAAUAUCCUCUACUUAUUUAACAAUCUUAUUUAUUAUUUUCAUAAUAUAACUUUAAAAGACUUGUCUAUUAAAGUAAUUUCAUAAAUUUUUAAUAAAAACUCUUAUUGACAACCAAACAACUAAUUUUUUUUAGCAAAACCUCUACUUAAAUAAGUUCUACUUGAAAAACUGUAUCAAACGGAGCUUAAAGUUAAUAGUCUCUUAUCUCCCACAUUUGAUAUCUUAAUGGUAUCAGCGUGUUACCUAAGAUUGGGAUUCAUUAAAAUCCUCAAUGUAAUCGGUGGAAUGAAAUGGAUUUUUAUAACCUCCUUGAAGGUUUUACGAUAAACAUAAAUCUAUUGACAAAGUGGGCAAAAAGAAAAUGCAUAUAAAAAUAUGAGUUAUCAGAUAAGAUUAAAACUCACCCAAUUCAAUCCAUCAGAUUCCGUAAGGAUAUAACUGGAUGUCAUACCGCCACUCCAUAUCCUCGAAAGUCCGUAGUCCUUGUCUCAACUGUGUCUGGGGCCAGUGUAAGUCCAAUUUGCGCAAGCUCUUUAUGCACCACAGCUCUUCUGGAAGCUUUCUCAAGUAAGCACAUGGGUUGACAAUUAAGCUUUCAAGUUUCGGCAUUGCUCCAGCCCCCAUCGUCCACUCAUCUAGCCAAUACAUUGAUUUCAAGUGCAAAACCUUAAGUUCGGAAAAGCUACUCAAGCCAACACAAGCAAGCUUUCUUCCUAAAUACGAGUUCUGCUUCAGUUUCAGCACUCGAAGGCAUGGAAGAUUUUCCAGAAUUGGCAUGGGAUCCUCCAUUAGCUCAGUAUUUGAUAAGCUCAGUUGGAUCAGACUUGGGGGAAAUUGGUAUUCAGACAGGACAAUCCGUGAGGGCUUGCUCUCAUUCACCAGCUUCAAGCAUUCAAGUUUGUGGAGUUCGCAAAGGCUUUUGGAAACCCCAGAUUGAUAGCAACUCAAAUCUCCAGAUAUCCGAAGAGUCUGAACACUAGGUAGUCUGCCCAAUAUAUCAGGAGUACAACUACUAGGGUUUAAAGCUGAUAUGAAAAUGAGAUUUUUCAGAGAGCUAGAAUAAUUUUUUGGAGGUGCGGGCAGAGUGAUAGAACCAAAGUUUAGAUGCAUGAGUUUUUGCAUCAUCCAAAUAUCCUCUGGUGACUGAUCUAUGUAGCUAGAUGGCAUUUCUAGUGUUUCAAGGUUUAAAAGGGUGCAUAGCAGUGAAGGAAGGCAUUUGAGCGAAGGGAUAUUCAAUUUCAAAUACUUCAAAAGGAAUGAAUUUUCUAAUCCGGGUGGAUAUUGGUCCAGGACUGCAGAACCCAUGCUCAAUACCCGAAGGUAUUUGAACCAUUUAAAAAAAUUCUCGCAAUCUUUCGGAUUAAGAUGAUCGCUUUCUGAACUGUGAUUCAGAAAAGAUUGGAGAUAGAUGUAAGAAUAUUCUAAAGAAAAGAAGUCAAUCAGAUUUUCCCAAAUGAUGUACCGUUUAACAUUUGCCCUUGAUUCCUUUUCCAUUCCAGGCAUCCAGAGAAAUCCCGUCUCCUGUGCCAACAAUAACAAUGAAGUAUAUACAAAACUUGGAACAUAACACGCUUUAAUUGUGCCUCCGGCGCUUCUCUUACUCACUUGAAUGAAGCCGCGAUGGAUUAGUUCUUUCAAGUAAUGUUCGGCACUUUCUUCACCGUUGUAUGGUAUGAAACCUUCAGCUACCCACAACUGAUAUAAUUGCCGCGUGGAUAUCUCAAUACUUGGAGGGAAGACACACAAAUAGAUGCAGCAGACUUUCAAGUGAAAAGGCAAGUCCAUCACAGAAAAAAUUUGCCUCCAAAUUGUCGGAAUCGCUUCGCCUUGAACAUAAUUUUCUAAUGGCAUACUUCCAUAGUGUAGGAUGAAAAAUUGCCAGGCUUCAUGCUUUAAUCUGAUCAAUGGUCCUCCAAUGAGCACCGAAUCAAGCCGAAUCUUCUCUCCAUUUUCCAUUUCCAACGACGCAAGGAGGUCUGGAUCAGUGACCAAUAUCAAUACUCUGCUUCCAUUCUGAUUAUUUGGAAGAACUUCUUCAAGAUCAUCCCAUAUCUCAAUGUUAUCGCAGACAUCAUCAAGCACAAUAAAGUACUUCCUGUUUGUUAGGUAAUCUCGAAGAAUAGAUUCCUUGAAUUGAUAAUCUUCACCGAUAAUUACACUAACCCGAGAUGGAGGCAUCACAGACUUGAUUAUGUCAUCCAAUAGCUUGCCCAAAUCGUAGAAUACAGAAACCCUGACCCAAGCAAGACAGUCAAAAUAGAACUUGACAUGAUUAUUGUUGUAAGUAUCUGCAGCAAAAGCAGUCCUAUCGAAGCCACUGCUGUCGAGAAUUGCAACCACUGAAAGCCCAGAUGGUCCCUCAAUCAAUACAUCAAACAACUUCUCUCUGCCCCUUUCAAAUUCACUGAUAUCGAGCCGAGGUUGUCCCUCAUUCAAUAGGUGAAUGAUUUCGUUACUUUUUUCACUGAUAUCAAAACCAUUGUCGCCGGGUGGGAGUUGUUGGAUCCGAUUUCUAAUAUCAAUGAUUUUACUGUGGAGUCCAAAAAGAAGAGCCAUUUUAGUACUGCUUUCACUUUCGUUUUGACUGUUUUGCUGCUGCAUGAUGUUGAUGAAGAAUGUGUCAAUGGCUUCCUCAGAUUCAUGGACAAAGUCAUUGAUGUCCUCCAGAAUUUCCAAAAUACCUCCUCUUUUAACGUCUUCAUCGCUUUCUUGUGCCUGCAACAGUUGCGAAAAAGGCAAAGAUAAUUUGGAUUCAUCGAAUCGUUCUUUAACAAGUUGAAACAAAAGCCGAGCCAUGUCAGAUUCAAAGUUUCCGAGCAGAGUGGUAGCAAUAAUCUCGGACUCCGUUAGAAGGUUUUGAAAAAGGGGAGUUAAAUUUGUUGAAUCAGGCAAAGUCAACGCGCAUUCUUCACCUGCUAACACCCUUUUUAACCUCUCACAAAAUAGUCGGAGGUGGACGUCCAGCAUAUCUCCUUCUGUCUGUAGCGCCCAGAGGUAUUGUUAUUUGCUACAAGAAAUGUUAAAACAUAGAGUAAUGAUACAGCCACAAACUCUUGUACAAACUUAUUUUGUACAAACUAAAAUGGCAUUAAUUCAUUGGUUGAAUGAAAAUAUAAAAUAAUAAAAACAAAUCAUGUGGGCCAAGUGAUAUUUAAUUCAACCAAUCUUAUCAUGCCACGUCAAUUUGUACAAAAUAAGUUUGUACAAGAGUUUGUGGCUAUAUCAUUACUCUAAAACAUAUCUCCUUCUGUCCUAUCUCAAAGUGGUUAGUGGUGUAAAAUUAAACACCAUGGAAGAAUUUGCAAGGAAUAUGCCAAGAAACUGGCCAACCCGCUUAGCUAAAUUCCACAAAUAUGACGUUAUUGCUCAUUUUUCUCUCAAACACAUAAUACACGUUCUUCGAGGCGCGUGCCUUCUGAAAAGGACAGGUAUCCAACCUCAUCUUAAUUUAAAGAAUUUUCCUUUAAAAAAAAUUUAAUAUCAAAAUGCCUUCAAUGUUAUUACUGCCGAAAGCCAAACUUCCUUUGGGUAAUUAAUUUAGAAGUUAAGCAGAGAAUAAAGUCCUAGAUUAAAUGUUUAGGUAGUUUUACAAAAUGAUAACAGCAUGCCAAAACUCGUUGUUGUCAUAUUCGACAUUUCAAAUUGAAAAAUAUGCAAGCAAUCUUCAGUGAACAUUACAUGUUUAUUGAAUAAUUUAAAUGGCCAGUAAAUCAACAGUCCGUGAGUUUUAAAUCUAUUAUGACUUAAUGUAUCUUUCUGUAUUCGUACACAGGUUAUAUUAUCAUAGUUUAAAAUUAUUUUAAAUAUUAAAAAUACUUUAAUGCUAUUAGUCUACUACACAGGUUAUAUUAUUUAUAUUAUAUUUGUAUUAAUUAAAACUUUUAAUGUCAAUUUUCUAAUUAUUAUAUUAAAAAAGUAUUAUGGUUAAGAAAAAGUUUUGGCAUUUCUUCUUGAAAAUUUGAGAGUCUGCAUGAAAAUUUUUCCAAAUUCUAAAGGUAUAGGUUUGAAAAUUUAACGUUCUGUAAAUUAAUGAAACAAAAGGGGGGAAACCAAAAACUAUUCAAUUUUGUAUUUUUUGUUUGUAAUUCAAAAAAUACAUCCACCAAACAAGUUUUACGCAUUAAUGCUGUCAUAAAACGAAAAACAGUUUGCCAAAAAAUGGUACCAAACAUUUCCUUAAUGUCUCACAUGAUUUCUUAGUAAGUCCAUAUUAGAUAUAUUUAUACAUUUUAUGUAUUUUAGUUAUAAAAGAAGUAGGUCCUCCCCCUGUUUAUAAAAAAUAACUUUAUUUCGAGAUUGCCACUAAACUCUUACAUAGAAUUAGUGUAAUGUUAAGAGAGAGUAACACAGUUUUCCAUUACCAUCUUUGAAAAUAGAGAGAUAUGGAUGCAUGCAUUUAAGAGUUAUCAUGAAAAUCAUACAAUUCAAUUUCCUGACAUAUAUAUUUAUGCACGUAUACCAAAAGAAUAAAUAGACAGAAAGUAAAUUUACAGUCCUCACUUCCUCACAAUUGUUAACGUGAAGAUGCAUUACAACUGUGAACUGUCACUACUUUAGCCUUUUUUUUUAAAAAAAAAAAAUUAUAGUGUGAUGGAGACAUCAAGGAUGAGCAUAAAAGUUAAAGAUGACUCAUUUUCUUUUUAAAGUGCUCUGCUGAAAGCCAAACUUCCUUUGGCUAAUUAAUUUAGAAGUAAAGCAGAGAAUAAAGUUCUAGAUGCCUUCUGAAAUUAGAAAUACAUUUUAUAUGCUUUAAUUAUGAUUAUUUGGUAGACUAUUGACCUAAAAGACAUGUUAAAUUAUAAAACAGUGCGAUUAAAAAAAAGAGAGUAUUUGUGACGUAGAAUAACAAUUGGUAAAUAAAUCCUAAAUAUUUGAGUUGUUAAAAGCAAAUAUAACAGAGACGGUAAGAGAGAUGCAGAAACAGAAAACUAUUAGCUUAUCUUGAUUUUCCCACUAUAUUCAUUUUCGAUGCUUUUCAAACGAGAUUCUUUUAAUUCUUCUGGUGUCUGCAGCCCCUGCUCUUCUUAUAGAUCUCCAUCCCACAUCUGCACUACGAACAAGUUGAUUAAAAUUAAAUAAUGUUGGAGACGUGGGGUGAGCCGUCAACUUGGUAAAAAAACUAUGUAUAAUAUUGUUAAUAAUAUAAAAUAUAUAGUAAUAAUUACAAAGAAUCAUAAAUUAGAAAAAUUAAUUAUUUUACAAUCUAUUUCUUAAGUAAGAUAAAUCUCAUAAUAAGUUAAGUUAUAAUGUAAAAAGUAUUUUCAAUUUAUAAUCAUUUAAGAAGUCAUUUAACAAUAAAAUCUUUCUUUUGAUCAAUUGGUCAUGCUACAAAGUAUCAUCUAUAUUUGUGGUGAUAUUAUUAUUACUCCGUAUUCUCAAAAAACAUGAUUUAACAUUUAGAGAAAAUUCAUGCCUUUUAAAAAGAACAUGUAUGCAACAACUACCAAUACUUUAUCUUACCACAACAAAACUAAUGGUGACUAAAUCAAUUUUCUUGAUUAAAGCAAAAUUUCUUAAAAUUGAUUUAAUGCACAAAUAUGAUGACUUUUUGCAAAAAUUAGUUUCGGAAAAUAUAGUGAGAGAAAAUAGUGACGAUUAUUGUUUAGAUGUGUAAAUAGCCUAAACAUGAUCGCUAAUACCAAUAUCCACGUGCAUCUUAACACCUUUCGUGAUAUUCUUUCAUUCAUGGUCACUGGUUCAAGAUUUGAAUUUAAUCAGUAAAUCAUGUUCAAUAAUAUUAGAGAUCCCAACAAUUGAGUACCAAUUUAAAUCCUAAUGCUAUAUGUCAUUGACCAAUAUUGUGUCAUUUUUUGUUAACUGGGUGAUGAAUUUCUAGUUGAUAAAAUUACUUAAAAAUAUCUUAAAAAUCAGACAAUAGUUUGCUUAAUUUUUUGAAGCUAACUGCUCAAGAUGCUCUAUUAGAAAUGAUAACCUAAUUAUAUACAUAAAAAAUGAUGUAUUUUUUGCGGUGUUGAUAGUGAGAUUAUCAUUCAACAUGUUAAAAUAUGAAAACAUAUGGAAGAUGGUUGUAAAUUGGUUGAAUGAGAAUAUUUCAGUGAAGUCUCAAAAAUUUGGUACUUGUUAUCUUAUCGAAAGUUUUCUAAAUUAUAUUCGUGGCACUGCCACUGCUUCUAUGUGAAGGUCAUUAAAAUUUGUGUUAGCUACCUAUAGGUUGAAUAACAAUUUUAUUCAUCAAUUGUUGCUCAAUAUAGCAAUUUGAUUGAAAGUGCCGCUGCACUAAUUUUCUAGAUGAACUUUCCUACAUGUUUGUCCUCAUAUGACCUAGAAUGCUGCGAUAUCAAUUGUAUUGGAAAUUAUUCAGGUGGGUUAGUGCUCUACAUCCCCACCAAAAUAUAAGCAAUGAACAAAACAUUCCUUGUGGAAAUAAACUUAAUUAUUUCGCUACUAGACUUCUAAUGAGGCCCAUUUUCCAGAAUCUGGAUACAAGUUAGAUGUCUCCCAAAAUAUUGGUGGGAGUAGACUAUAGUAGCACUCGACAACAUACUAACGACGCUAUGGUCCACCAGAAAGACCGGUCUCCGGUCAGCCGAAAAAUCUCACGUUCAGUCUCUUCUCAAUCUCCCUUCUCCCAGCCAAGUCGAUCCCGUAACAUGAUACUAAUCCACAGUUGAAUACAUGAUACUAUUAGAUCUUAUUUGAGAAUAUAAAGGGAUCUUUCUAAUUUGAGAACAUAAAUUGCCCAAUAAAGUUGAACUACGUUACCCCGCUCCAUGCACAUACAUUAAAUGUUAACAGCAUGCCAAAACUUGAUGUUGUCAUAUUCGACAUUUCAAAUUAAUAUGCAAGCAAUCUUCGGUGAACAUUACGUUUUUAUUGAAUAAUUUAAAUGGCUAGUAAAUCUAGAGUUCUUGAGCUUUAAUCUAAAUCAAAUCUAUUAUGACUCAAUGUAUUUUUUUGUAUUCGUACCAGUAAUGCAGGGGAUUAUUUACGGAACUCUUAUUAUUGACUGAUAUGUUCACCUUCAUCCAAUUAGAGAAAGAGUGACUGUAGAGGUGGCAAAAAUACCCGUCCGGUUCGGACCCGGACCGUACCCAUUACCCAGCCCGGGUAUGAAGCCGGGUCGGUCUUGGGUAUUACUUGAUAAACCCGGAACUCGGAUUUUAUUAAAAAAAUUAUAAAAUAUAUAUUAUUUUAAAUAUUUUAUAUUUAUUUGACUCAUUUAUUAUACAUAUAUAAAGUUUUAAACACUUAAAGUAUAUAUUUUCUUGUCAAAUUUUAUUGAAAUAAAUUUAAAACUUAUAAAAUUACUAAAAAAUAAAAAAUAUAUACACAUAAAAUAUUAAAAAAUAUAAAAUUCGGGUACUCGAAUUAAAACCCAGCCCGAACCCGGACCCAGACCGGUUGCAUCCGGUAGGGUCCGGUCAUGGCAAUACCCUGACCCCGCCCGGGGUUUUGCCAUCUCUAAGUGACUGGGUUCCUAUAAAGGGACUCUUAACCGUUACGAGAGUAUUCAGACUAAAAAUCUUUAUAAUUAAAUUCAAAGGUGAAGAUCUAUGCUUAUUAUCUAUUUAACAACUAAUAUAUAGUUAUCUAUUCAUUUAAAUAUCAAGGGCUAUGCUAAUAAUUAAGUUGAAAUGUUGAUGAAAGUAGCCCUACAUCUGUAUAUUACUCAUCUACUCUAAUCUUUUUUUUUUUUUAACUUAAUGUACUUUUUCUAAUGUUGUUUACUCUUCCCCCCCCCCCCCUCCUCUGACAAAAUAAUAAGAGUUUAGACUUGAAAAUAUCUUAAAGAUCAAACAGUAAUUUACCUAAUUUUUUGAAGCUAACUGCCAAAGAUAUUCUAUUAGACAUUGAUAACGUAGUUAUAUACAUUUAAAAUGAUUUUUUUUUUUUGUGGAAAGGGAUUAUCAUUCAACAUUUUAAAAUAUGAAAACAUAUGGAAGAUGAUUGUAAAUUGAUUGAAUGAAAAUAUUUCAAUGAAGAUGGUUGUAAAUUGUUAUCUUAUUGAAAGUUUUCUAAAUUUACUACUAUUUGAACUUAGCCCUCCUGGUACCGCCACCAUUUCUGCUUGAAAGUCAUUUAAGUUUGUGUUAGCUGCCUAAAGCUUUUUUUUUUUCUUUUUCUUUUUGAAAAGAGCUGCCUAUAGCUUGAAUAACUAUUUUGCUCACGAAUUGUUGUCCAUUAUAGCAAUUUAUUUAAUUGAAAGUGCGGCUGCAAUAAUUUUCUUGAUGAACUAUUCCACAUGUUUGUUCUCAUGUGAGGCAGUUUUUCUAGAAGAUUGAUAUUUCUUUAAGUCUUUAACUAGCAAAGCAUACCAGUCCAAAGCUAGCCAAACCAUACCUGCUGGUCCAGGGCUUAAAUGGAGUACUUCUAAGCAUAAAACAGUAACAAAAACACAAUAUAUGCAUACAUACAUACCAGCAAAUUCAAAAUAGAAAAAAGAGUGCAACUAUUCAAGAAAUUGGUUAUUGUAGACAAACACACAUACAAACACAUACCAGAAAAUUCAAAAAAUAGAGAAAGGAGGCCAACUAUUCAAGUUUGUAGACAAUAUUGCAAUCAUGGCAUUACUUAUAGCAAGUCCUUGAAAUCUACUAAACAAAACAAUGCUCUGUCUCAUGAAUCAAUGUUGAAUUACAGACGAAAUUGAAAGUCUAGCAGGUGUUGUUUCCCUCUUCGAUUUUGCCUACACAAGUAAAGGGAAAUAAGAAUCAUAAAUGAAAAUCAGCUUUUACAGUUGUAAUUAUUAGAUAGAUCUAGAACGAUCUUUCUUUGUUUCUCUGCUGCAAUGUGCUAUCCCACUCUGUUUUGCUACUAAAAUUGAGUCUAUGUUGAGACAUAAUUUCGACACUAGGAGCAACCGCAAUUAGUUUGGCAUUGCAUUACCCCUUGAAGGUUUUACAAUAGUUGUAAACUUACCGAGAAAGUAGAAAAAAAAGGGCAUAUGGAAUUAGGCAAGUAACUAAAGUAUGAGUCAUCAGAUAUGAUUAAAACUCACCCAAUUCAAUCCAUCAGAUUCCGUAAGGAUAUAACUGGAUGUCAAAACGCCACUCCAUAUCCUCGAACGUCCGUACCCUUUGCCGCAACUCUGUCUGGGGCCAGUGUAAGUCCAAUUUGCGCAAGCUCUUUAUGCACCAUAGCUCUUCUGGAAGCUUCCUCAAGUAAGCACAUGGGUUGACAAUUAAGCUUUCAAGUUUUGGCAUUGCUCCUGCCCCCAUCGUCCACUCAUCUAGCCAAUACAUUGACUUUAGGUGCAAAAUCUUAAGUUCCGGAAAGCCACCAGAGUCAACACAGGCCAACUUUCUUCCUAAAUACGAGUUCUUCUUCAGUUUCAGCACUUGAAGGCGUGGAAGCUUUUCCAGCUUUGGCAUGGGAUCCUCCAUUAGCUCAGUAUUUGAUAAGCUCAGAUGGCUCAGACUUAAAGGAAAUUCGUAUUCAGACAGGACAAUCCGUGAGAGCUUGCUCUCAUUCACUAGUUCCAAGCAUUCAAUUUUGUGGAGUUCGCAUACGCUUUUGGAAACCCCAGAGUGAUGGCAACUCAAAUCUCCAGAUAUCUGAAGCGUUUGAACAUUAGGUAGUCUGCCUAAUAUAUCUGGCGUGCAACUACUAGGGUGUAAGGAUGAUAUGAAAAAAAGAUUUUUCAGAGAGCUGGAAUAAUUUUUUGGAGGUGCAGGCAGAGUGAUGGAACCAAAGUUCAGAUGCAUGAGUUUUUGCAUCUUCCAAAUAUCCUCUGGUGUUUGAUCUACGUAGCUAGAUGGCAUGUCUAGUGUUUGAAGGUUUGAAAGGGUGCAUAGCGGUGAAGGAAGACAUUUGAGCGAAGGGAUAUUCAAUUUCAAAUACUUCAAAUGGAAUAAAUUUUCUAAUCCGGGUGGAUAUUGGUCCAGGACUGCAGAACCCCUGUUCAAUACCCGAAGGUGUUUGAACAUUUUACAAAAAUUCUCGCAAUCUAUCGGAUUAAGAUGAUCGCUUUCUGAACUGUAAUUCAGAAAAGAUUGAUUAGUUCUUUCAAGUAAUGUUCGGCCGUCCCCUCACUGUUGUAUGGUAUGAAACCUUCAGCUACCCACAACUAAUAUAAUUGUGUGGUAGAUAUCUGAAUGCCUGGAGGGAAGACAAACAAAUAGAUGCAGCAGACUUUCAAGUGAAAAGGUAACUCCAUCACAGAAUAAAUUUGUCUCCAAGCUGUCGGAAUCGCUUCGCCUUGAAAAUAAUUUUCUAAUGGCAUACUUCCGUAGUGUAGGACGAAAAAUUGCAAGCCUUCAAACUUUAUUCUAAUCAGUGGUCCUCCAACGAGCACUGAAUCAAGCCGAAUCUCCUCUGCGUUUUCCAUUUCCAACGACGUAAGGAGUCUUGGAUCAGCGACCAAUAUCAAUACUCUGCUUCCAUUCUGAUUAUCAGGAAGAACUUCUUCAAGAUCAUCCCAUAUCUCACUGUCAUCGAAGACAUCAUCAAGCACAAUAAAGUACUUACUGUUUGUUAGGUAAUCUCGAAGAAUAGAUUUCUUCAAUUGAUAAUCUUCACCGAUAAUUACCCUAACCCGAGCUGGAGGCAUCACAGACUUGAUUAUGUCAUCCAAUAUCUUGCCAAAAUCGUAGGCAAUAGAAACCCUGACCCAAGCAAGAGUCAAAAUAGAACUUGACAUGAUUAUUGUUAAAAGUAUCAGCAGCAGAAGCAGUCUUAUCGAAGCCACUGCUGUCGAAAAUUGCAACCACUGAUAUCGAUAGAUCAAACAACUUCUCUCUGCCCUUUUCAAAUUCACUGAUAUCGAGCCGAGGUUGUCCCUCAUUCAAUAGGCGAAUGAUUUUGUUACUUUGUUCACUGAUAUCAAAACCAUUGUCGCCGGGUGGAAGUUGUUGCAUCUGAUUUCUAAUAUCAAAGUGAAAAAUUGCUGCUUUCACUUUCGUUUUCACUGUUUUGCUGCUGCAUGAUGUUGAUAUUGACAUAAUUUUAUUUUAGUUUUUGGGGAAAAAAAUAUUUGUUGACAAGCAAGAAAAUAUUUUUAUAUUUUAAAUUUAUUAUACAUAUUUUAUCAUUUUAAAGUAAUUUUAAUAAUAAAUAGAAACAUAAUAUUACGAUAAAUAAAUUAAAGUUUAAAUUAUUUUAAAUAUUAUAAAAAAUAAUUCUAAUAUUAUUAAUAGGAAGACAUUUUGUUAAUUUUAAAAUUUUUUAACCCAAAGGUUUAUUUAAAAUUUUUAUUAUAAAUAAAAAUAUAAAAUUAAAUAUCAUAAUUUAAAUUUUUUAAUAUUAUUUAAGUAUUAAAAAUAUUUUAAUGUUAUUAGUCUACUACAUAGAUCAUAUUACUUAUAUUAUAUUUGUAAUGAUUAAAAAUUUUUAAAAUCAAUUUUCUAGUUACUAUAUUCACGAGAUAUUAUGGUUAAAGAAAAGACCUUGGUGUUACUUUUUACAAAUUUGAGUGCCUACAUGAUAAUUUUUUCAAAAUUUAAGAAUGUAUGUAUCCUUUUCUCCAAUAAUUUAUUUCACUUUUGAGGGGAAUCCAAUGAGAGAUAUGAUAAGAGAACGUCAAUUAGUUGUCAUUUUCUACUUUUUCUGUAAGCUAUUUAUUUUGAGCAUUAGUGAUCUUGUCUGGACUACUCCAAUUAUUGAUGUAACUCCAGUGACUGCAUCCACAAUUGAAUAUAUGAUAGUGUUAGCUCUUAUUUGAGAAUUUAUAUAGUCUUGCUGUUAAAGAACUCACUGAGGCAUUAUUGAUUCAAUUUCAGUGGAGCAAUCGCGGGUGAAGGAUAAAUAAAGGAUCAGAACAGAGCUGAAGUGCUAAAUUGGCUAUUGAAGAAGGAUGUCACAUGAUCACAAUCACAUUGAUGCACAACUCUCUGGAGGCAAAUUUUGUCUUUAUGUACUCUAAAUUCAGCCAAACCAUACAUGCAUGAACAAAAAUUAAACCGUCGUUCUAAUCACAACAGUAAUUGAAGCUCCAAAAGCAAGAAAAUCUGAACAAAGACUUAAAAGAAAGAUCUUAUUCAAGUUUGUCCCCAAAAGACAGCUGAAAUGAAAAAUAUUGACUAUUGAAUGGAUCAAUGCUGAAUUACAUUUGAAAUGGAAAGCUUGGCUGCAUCUAUGAUGUUUCCCCCUCUGAUUUUCCCCCAAAACAAAUUUAGUUGUAAACAAUAACGGAAGCAGCAAUAAUUUAUUCACCAAAGAAAAUGCCCAAGAUUUCAACUAACAGAUCCUCUUAUCUAAACUAAAAGAACUCAUAUCUCUAAAAUCUACCCGCAAAAUGUUGGAAAUGAGGGAUGAUCUGUCAACUCGAUAAAUAAACUCAUGCAUAAUAUUAACAAUAAUGGUAAAUUACAUAAUAAUUAUUAUAAAGAAUCAUAAACUGGAAACACUAAUCAUUCUACAAUCUAUUAUAUAAGUAAGAUAAAUCUCAUGAUAAGUUAAGUUAUAACGUGAUAAAUAUUUUCAAUAUAUAAUUAUUUAAGAAGUCAUUUAAUAAUAUAUAUUUUUUAUUUUGUUGAUCAUGUCAUAUAGCGUUAUCUAAACUCCUGACAAAAUUAUUAUUACUCACUUUUCUCAAAAAAACAUGAUUAACGUUUAGAGAAAAGUCAUGCCUUUUAGAAAGAAUAUGUAUACAAGCUAUCCAUACUUUAUCUUACCGUGACAAAAUUGAUGGUGAUUAAAUCUAUUUUUAAAAUAGAUUUAAUGCACAAAUAUGAUGACUUUUGGCAAAAAUUAGUUUCGGAAGAUAUAGUGGUAGAAAAUAGUGAUGAUUAUUGUUUAAAUGUGUAAAUAGCCUAAGCAUAGCCCGUAAUACCAAUAUCCAUUUGCACCUUCAUUUGGAUUAUCACAUUUCAUGAUAUUUUUUCAUUCAUGUCCAUUGAUCAAGAUUUGAAUUUGAAUAUAAAUUAAGCUGCAAGGGAGCUUACUUCGGUUUCUAAGCUUUCCAAUUGUGAUUCCUGCAUGCCUUGCUCUGAUACUAUUUUGUUACAUACCAAUGUAACCAACCUUGUAAUUGGUCUGUAUAAGAAAUCAAGCCCUUUUAGAAUCGUUUUCUUUUGUUUCCCCAUUGUAGUAGUCAACUAAAUAAAGAAUGAACAACUGAACUUGAUCUAUUUUGAUGAAGACCAAGGCCUUCAAUACUAGAUGAACUUUGAAGAAGAUUAAUCUACUGCUUUUAUUCAUCUUUGGACUAUGAAUUUAUACAAAGACUUUAACAGAAAAUAACAAAGACACAACUAAAUGAUAGCAACAAGUGUUGACUUACUGGACCACUUCUACAAGUAAAAAAAAACUAAAUAUUUAUUUUGACUAUAACAACAACUACCCUGAUGAACAACACUCCACAGCAGCCACGUGACAACUAAUUUCUCCUUAAUAUUAUUAUUAGUAGAAGUAGAUUUUCAAACUAGUCUUGAUAUAUUUCAAAGUUGUAUUAACAAUUUAUAUGUAUCUAGAUUGUAACUAUAUUUUUUAAAAAUAAAAUAUUUUAAUUAUUGCACAUUAAAUGUAGAAGAAUAUCUGUAAAAUAAUAUUAUUAGGACUAAAAAAUAUUAUUUUAGAUAAGUUAUUUAUUUAUUAUUGAAUUAAUAAUUUAUUAAUUAUUAGCAGAAGUAUAUUUUCGAACUAGUCUUGAUAUAUUUCAAAGUUGUAUUAACAAUGUAUAGGUAUCUAGAUUGUAACUAUAUUUUUAAAAAAUAAAAUAUUUUAAUUAUUGCACAGUAAAUGUAGAAGAAUAUCUGUAAAAUAAUAUUAUGAGGACUAAAAAAAUAUUAUUUUAGAGAAGUAUUUUUUUAUUAUAGAAUUAAUAAUUUAUUAAUUAAUUUAUAAAUGAAUAUUUAUUAAUUUAAAGAGAGACUUUUUUGGUUUUAUGAAGAGUAUGUUUGGUACAUGUUCACACUUAUAAAGAAACACAAAAAAUGCUUCCUCAAGUCAACGGUAUUUGCUUUAAUCGCUACUGUUCAUAAUAAUAUAGCUUAGUUAGGAAAUUUGUAAUUAUAAUAUGACUCUUUUAGUACAACUUUUCAAGUAGAGUUUAUUUAGGUAGAGAUUUUGUUAGGAGAGGUAUUAUAAAUAGAGAUUUCACUAAAAAAAUUUAAUUAUUUGAUUAUAAUAUCCAAAUUGAAGAACUUUUGUUCUUUUGUUAACAUCUGUUUGUUUUACUUAAUAAUAAAAGUUUAGUUUACAAUUACACCGGUGUCAAAUCAGCAGAGCAUCGGCAAGAGUUUUCGAUUGUUGCAAUUUGCAAUGCAUGCGGUACAUGCACGCACUAAUAAAGAAACACAAAAAGUGCAUUCUCAAGCCAAUAGUAUUUGUUUUUAAUCGCUACUUUGCAUAAUAAUGUAGCUUAGUUAGGAAAUUUGUAAUUAUAUUAUGCCUCCAUUUGGUAUAAUUUUUUAAUUAGAACUUAUUUAAGGAGAACUAUUGUUUGUAGAGUUUUUAUAAAUAGAAAUUUUAAUUAAAAAAAAUUAUAAUUAUUUAGUUGUCAAUGUCCAAAUUGAUGAACUAUUGUUCUUUUUGUUAACAUGUGUUUGUUUUACUUAAUAAUAAAACUUUAGUUUACAAUUACACCGGUGUCAAAUCAGCAGAGCAUUUUUGCAGCCCGUCACAUUAUACAUUAUACUAAUAGCAUCGGCAAGAUUUUUCGAUUGUUGCAACUUGCAACGCACGCGAUGCGAGAAAAUGAGAAUCUUGUUUAAUUGUGAAUAAUGACAAACCUAAUCCUUUCAUUAGGAGCAAUUUAAUAAUCGUUUGUUAUAAUUGAAUAGGUAUAAAGAAAGGACAACUCUAUUCAUAGAUUCGGCUUAUUUUUUGUUUAAAGUAAUUAAUCCUCUAAAACUGAAUUUUAUUUUAUCUGGUGCAUGUUAAAUGAUGUGAGGCCUAAUUUAGGUUUUUGGUUAGCGAAUCAAUUUCAAAGUGUGCUUAAACGGUAUAGGACUUUAUUUCCUGGUCCAUACAUUACUCUGUUAGCUAUAAACCUAUGUGUGCUUGAUCCCGACAAUAAUGAUUUGCAUCCUGCUUGCAAAAAGGAAUUUUUGGAUAUGUCUGUGUUUGAAAGAACAGGUGUGGUCGAAUUCAAGAAGGGGAGAUUUUAGUUUACUGAACCAGGACCCACUCAACUUCCGAAGAAGCUUUAUGCUAGGAGUGGUGCUACCUCUGAUGACGAGUUUGACGACGACACUGCUGCCCCGCCAACUAUUCCUUCUACAUCCGCACCACCUUUGAGCAUUCAGUUAGAGAAAAUGGAGCACAAGCUGAACAAGAUGGAGCAGAAUUUGGCCGCAUACUUCGAGAGUGUGGGAUUUACCCCACCAUUUUCGCCAAGCCCAUAGACGUUAUGUGGAUCAAAGCUCACAAUUCAGGGAAGUUUCUUUUUGCCCUUAAUCUUUUAUCCUUACGCUUUAAUUUUUAUGUGAGCUUUGAUUAUCUUACAUUGGGGACAAUGUAAGUUCUUGGUGUGGGGGAGGGAUUUUGAUGUCUGGAAUUAUUAUUUUCACUCUACUCAUAUAUUUUCACUCUACUCAUCCUUAAAUGAUUUUGGAGUUAGUAUGCUUCAUACAUUAUUAAUUUUCUUUUCCUCUCUCUCUCACUACUCUUUUCCCAUCUAUCUCAAAUUAUUUACAUCUAUUUUUAUUCUAUCAUACUCUUUCAUCACUCACAUUUUAUCUUUCACUUUUCAUAUUACUACAUACAUCUUUCUCACUUCUUAUCAUUUUUACAUUUUCUUUUAUAUAUCACUCAUACCUUCUUCUCAUUCUACACCACUAUUGAUGGUUGAUUCAUUUGAAGAGUGUACAUGAUUUGAUGGCAAAUUUACCAACUUUGUGAGGAUUUGAGCCUAUGAGCAACCACUUUGCUCUAAUAUUUUUGUUGUGUGAAUAUCAAUCUUAGUUUGUUUAUUGUAGAACUUGCUUUGUUAUGCAUGUUGAAGCCGCAUUACGGGAUUUUAUGCAUUAAAAUGAUAAGGGCAAACCCUUUUCCAUUUUUCUAUUCUCGCAUUUUUUUUUCUCUACCCGAAGACCUUUAUUUGCUAUCUUUGUUUGAGCCUUAACCAUUACCCACCUAAUUUUCUCCGUCUACUUAACCAUUUUUCUUCUUUUUGAGCCUCAAUUUACGGAGAUUUUUGGACUCAUUGUGUGGAUGUAUUUUGUUGCUUUUUCUACCUUGUAAUAAAGUUUCUCAAUUAGAUCAACAAGCAUUAUGCUUGAAUUAAAUUGUGCAAGGUUCGUUUCUUUUGUUUGAUUCAAAAAUAAAAAAAAACAACAAAAAAAAAGAAAAAGAAAAAUCCAAAAAAAAGAAAAAAAAAUGUUUACAUUCUUGGUGACUUGAGUAGAAAUAAGUAUUUUGAUAUCAUAAGUUCAUUCAAUGAGUUCAUUCUUCUCAUUUUGAUCUCUUUUUCUUUCGUAAACCUUUCUUUUUCAUUCAACCUAUUUAACCCCAUUACAACCCUUUUAAGACCCUUAGAUUUUUGCAUUUUAUUCAUGUUUUGUGGAUUGAGAUGUGAUAUAUGAGCAAGCUUAUGGUAAUAGCAUUCUUUGAUUUGAUUUGAGUGAAUAAAUGACACCCUAAACACUUUGAGUGCAUGGAGUGAAGUUAUUGAGAGGGCUAUUAAAUCUUGUUGCACUUGAAUUUUGAAUGGAUCUUCUUGGUGGUUGAAUGUUCUUAUUCUAUCUUAUGAAAUUCUAUGCUUUAAAAUCCUUGUCUCUUGAAUGUUGAUCGACUUAAUUUCUUGAGGUAUGCUUGCUUAAAAUUGUUUUUGGAUGAGUUGAGAUGAGAAUUGAGUGGAGAUUUGAGAUUAAUCUUGAGUUAUAUGCUUGAGGACAAGCAUCAUCUUGGUGUGGGGGAAUUUGUUAGAGUGCAAUUUAUGCACUAGUUUUGCAUUGUUUACUUCCCUUAAUAUCGAUGUUUUACACUUAAUAAUAGUGAUUUACUUGUGUUUUACUUUUGUAGGUGCAAUUCUAUUGAUUGGUGAUAAAAUUGAGCUAUAAGAUGAUGUUUAAGGAUGAUUGUUCUCUUGGAGAAAUUAUGAGCGGCAGAAGAACUUUGUUGAUAAGGCGUGGGCGCGUGCUGUCAACUGCGGACCUGCAGUUUUUAGUUUAACAUGUUUUGUAUUUUUGUAAUUACGAAUUUAAUAUUUCAGAUAUUAGUAUUUUAUUUUAAAUAGAAUUCUAAAAGAGAGGAGAGAGAGAGAGUAUUUAAGGGAGGAAUCUAUUGUGAAAAAGGGGGAUUUAGAUUGGAGAAAAGAAAAUAAACCCUAAAUCUAAUUUUUCUCUUCUCUCUAUGAAGAACUAAACUUAUUUUUUCUGGUUGAAGGUUAAUGAAGCUUUGAUUCAUCACUACUGUGAGAUCUUUUUUAUGCUUUAAUUGUUUUAUUACUUUUUGGGUAAUUGUUUAUUCUCUGAAUUAGUUUCAUGAUUAUGUUUGUUAAUUAGGUAAUUGGCCACUAUUUAAUUAUCAACUUAAUCUAUUGUCAAUUAAAGGAUUCAUCGUAUGAAGAUUUUAAUGUUUGUGACAAAUAACAUAGCAGUGAGUUGUGUUAUGAGAAUAAACAAUCUAAUUUAAAUGAAUCAUCAUAUGUGUUGAUUAGGAUUUGGAUCUCUCUGGUUUUUCAGGCUGUCAAUUGAUUAAAUCCUAUGAUCGUAUCUAGGGUUGUCUAUUGAUUAGGGAAAUAUCCAACGGUCGUACCUUGGUUAUCGACUAGUUAAGGAGAGAUUGGCUAUUAGAGGGUCUCAAUAGCUAUAACCGGUCUAUUCAUAAGUAAUAAUAAUCUAUAUUUGAAUCAAUGAUCAGUAGUCGAAUCAAGCUGAGUUAAUUCCUUCAACCAGAGCUUUCUCUAAUUUGAAUUACAACUUUAAUUUGCAUUCUUGUUAUUUUAAUUUGAUUUUUAUUAUUGUCAACAAUUCCCCCAUUUUACUUUUUACGUUUCAAAAGGAUUUAAAUAAUUACCGAUCUCUGUGGACACGACCCUGCUCAAUCACUAUACACAAUUUAUUUAGAGUAUGAAUUUAUUUUUGUUGGCUUCGACAACCAUCGGUAGUAAAAGAAUUUUACUCCAAUUUGGUAAGCCCUGGUCAGCACAACAUUUGGGUAAGAAACUCACUUGUUCCAUUAGACUCUCGAGUUAUAAAUGUUUUUUAUAAUUUACCUGCUGAAAUUAAUUGUGAGUAUGCCAAGUUGCUUGACAAAUUGACCCCGCAACAAUGGAACACGAUUUUCACGACACUUACAGUAGAGGGUGCAUCGUGGGCUAAUGAGGACGGGCGUGUAAUUAACAGGAUAGAUUUAAAACUCAUUGCUAAGGUGUGGGUGAAAUUUCUGAAAUCUAGGCUUAUGCCAACCACCCACACCACUACUGUUUCACAGGAAAGGUUGGUGUUGUUAGAUGCUAUUGUUAGAGGGCUUCCCAUAGAUGUGGGAAGUAUUAUCGAAAAAGAAAUUCGAGUUUGUACCAUGAAAAACCACAAGGCUGCUGCCUUGUUAUUUCCUUCACUCAUAACCAGCAUAUGUAUAGUAUCAGGUGUUCAUCUUGAUGCAAAGGAUGAAAUUUGUAAUUAUAUUAUGGCUCCAUUUGGUAUGACUUUUUAAUUCGAACUUAUUUAAGGAGAAUUUUUAUUAGUAGAGUUUUUUAUAAAUAGAGAUUUUACUAAAAAAAUAAUUAUAAUUAUUUAGUUGUCAAUGUCGAAAUUGAUGAACUAUUGUUCUUUUUGUUAACAUGUGUUUGUUUUACUUAAUAAUAAAAGUUAAGUUCACAAUUACACCGGUGUCAAAUCAGCAGAGCAUUUUUGCAGCCAGUCACAUUAUACAUUUUUGCAACUUGCAAUGCAAGCGACGAGAGAAAAUGAGAAUCUUGUUUAAUUGUCAAUAAUGACAAACCUAAUCGUUUCAUUAGGUGUAAUUUCAUAAUCGUUUGUUAUAAUUGAAUCUGUAUAAAGAAAGGAAAAUUAUAUUCGUAGAUUCGACUUAUUUUUUGUUUAAGGUAAUUAAUCAUUCAACCAUCUUCAUUUGCCCCUGGCCACUGCCCUUGUAGAUUAGUUGAAGCGUUAAUUACUUAAUUUAGAUAAUUACAACGUCCUUUUCGCUAAUUAAUUAUGAUUAUAUACGUUUUCAUAUAGCAAGUGGCAUUGUAGAUCUAAAUUAUGUUGCUAUUUCAAUACGUUAAUUAAGUGAUUCUCCUCAUUGUCAUCAAGUGGAAAAUAGCUCAAUUGUUUCCCUGCAUCGAUUUUCAUUGGUAAGUGAUUUCUUAUGAUAUUCGUUUGAGCUUUCCUUAUUAAAAAAGCUUGAGCCUUGAUCACCUAAUACUGAUAUCAAUUUACUUGUGAACGAUUUUGUAAUGAAAUUAGGAGUUAAAUAUAUAAGAUUUUUACCUGAUGAAUUUUGAUUUUUUUUUUAAUUUUUUGAUGUAGUCAAUUUGCGAAUUUUAUAUGUUUCAUAUUCAACGGAAUUUGGGCACGGAAAGUUUGGAUUCUAAUAUUUAUAUAUUUAGCUUUAAUCAGUUUGACUUUAGCAAUCUUUUUCCCUCAUCAUUAAGGGAUUCAGAAUUAGAGAAACGCUAGGAAGAGGAAGAAAAUAACUUUGGAAAUAAGUAAGGGGGAAAAAUUAUGAAAUUUUGAAUUAUUUUUUGUAAAAUAUGUUGCGUUUACUAAACUUGAAUUAGAAUGAGCUGAAAUUAGAAUGAUUAGGAAUGCAAAUGUGCUGAAAUCGGAAUAGGUAAUGAGAAUAAGAAUAAGUUGUUUACUUGAACUGUAAAAAUCAAAAUCGAAAUGAGCUGAAUUGCAAUUACUUUAUCUUGGAAGCGGAAUUGGAAUCGGAAUGAGUUAGAUUGUAACAAAUUACUAAAAAGUACUUAAUGAAUUAUUGUCAUAAUUAUUAUUUUAUAUUUUAAUUAUAGUGAUUAUUUAUUCAAAAAUUAUUAUUAUUAAUUAUUUUCAAUAAUAUAUUAAUAUGUUAAUUAAUUUUAAAAAUUAUUAAUUAAUUUAUUAUAAUAAUAUACUAAUUAAUUAUAAUAAUUAUAAAAAUAUAUUAAUAAUAAAAUUACUAAUUUAAUUAUAAUAAUAUAUGAAUUAAUUAUAAUAAUUACUAAAUUAAUUAUAAUAAUUAUAUUAGUAAUUAUUAUAAUAGUAUAUUAAUUAAUUAUAAUAAUAAAAAUAUAUUAAUUAUGUGAUUAUUUAUUCAAAAAUUAUAAUUAUUAAUAAUUAUUGUUAAUAAUGUAUCAAUAUACUAAUUACAUAUAAUAAUUAUUAUAAAAAUAUAUUAAUUAUUAAUAAUAAAAUUACUAAUUUAAUAAUAAUAAUAAUAAUAUAUUAAUUAUGUGAUUAUUUAUUCAAAAAUUAUAAUUAUUAAUAAUUAUUGUUAAUAAUGUAUCAAUAUAUUACUUAAUUAUAAUAAUAUAUUAAUUAAGUAUAAAUGAGGACAAAGGGGGUAUUUUUAAUUUCACGUAGGGGCAAAAUGGUCAAUUCUAGUAAUGGGAGACUCACUCCCACCCUCUCCCUUGGGAAUGAGUCUCCCAUUCCUCAUUCCCAAAUUGUGGUGGGCCCCAUGAUUUUGACUCUGAUUUUUGACUCAAUUUUGCGAAGUAAACGCUACUAAUGAUUCUGAUUUUGGAUUCUGAUUCACUUAUCCGAGAAGUAAAAGCAACAUAAAUGUGUAUGAAUAAUUGAUACCUAUGAAUAGUUUUGGGAGUUUUAGUUAGGAGUCAUUUAUUGAAGAUGUUUAGCAAUUAAAGAUCUCUGACUCAGUAGUUUUCCCAAUCAAAAUCAAGAAGCAAAACAACUUGCCAUUUUUCUACUUGAUAAUUAAUUGAAAUUUAAGAAAAUACAAUGGCAUUUCAAUUAGAAAUGGUAAUUGUUUAUCUUUUUUCAUUGAUCAAAUUCUAAUCGUGAUCCAAUAGUUAUGGAUGAAGGAAAUAUUAUGAGAGGCGAUAGGCCAAGUGAAGACGUACCAGCAAAUUCAAAAUAGUCGGGAGGUGGACGUCCAGCAUAUCUCCUUCUCUCUGUAGCACCCAGAUGUAUUGUUAUUUGCUCCAAGAAAUGUUAAAAGGAUUGGCCCUAUCUCAAUGUGGUUAGUGGUGAAAAAUUAAACACCAUGGAAGGAUUUGCAAGGAAUAUGCCAAGAAACUGGCUAAGUUCCACAAAUAUGGCAUUAUUGCUCUUUUUUUUUAAAGAAAAAUUAUACACGUUAAUUUAGCAAAAAGUCUAAGACACAUGCCUUUUGAAAAGAAUAGCUAUUACCAUGACACAAUCGAUGCGGCUGAAACCAAAAUUUUCUUUUCUUAAUGUAAAGAUUUUUUUUAAAUAGAUUUUAAUAUUAAAAUGCCCUUCGAUGUUAUUACUGUCACAAGCCCUGUAACAGGAGUAAUAAAAAUUUUUAGAAUUUGUUGGGCAUGAAAAAAGUAGUAUUAAACAUCAGCAAGCAAAGGUUGUUCUGUUAAAGAAUUGAUAUUGACGUGAUUUUAUUUUGGUUAUCGAGAAAAAAAAAUAUAUUUGUUGAUAAGUAAGAAAAUAUUAUUAUAUUUUACAAUCUAUUAUACAUAUUUUAUUAUAUUAAAUAACACUAAAUAGAAACAUAAAAUUAGAAUAAAAUAAAUUAAAAUUAAAAUUAUUUUGAAUAUUAUGUAAAAAAUAAUGUUAAUAUCAUUGUUACUUGUAAAAUAUAUUUAGCCCAAAGAUUUAUUUAAAAUUUUAUAAUAAAUAAAAAUAUAAAAAUAAAUUAAAUAUCAUAGUUUAAAAUCUUAAUAUUAUUUUAAAUAUUAAAAAUACUUUAAUGUUAUUAAUCUACUACACAUGUUAUAUUAUUUAUAUUAUAGUUGUAUUAAUUAAAAAUUUUAAAGUCAACUUUCUAGUAACUAUAUUCAAAGGUAUUAUGGUUAAAUAAAGGUCUUAGUGUUUCUUUUCAAAAUUUGAGGGUCUACAUGAUAAUUUUUCCAAAUCCUAAGGUAUAGGUGUCCUUUUUAUCAAUAAUUUAUUUCACUUUUGAGAGAAUAUGAUGAGAAAUAAGAUCAGAGAAAUGUCAAUUUAAUGUUAUCUAGCUUAAUGAUAAAAAAAUGGAAACCAAGAACUAUUCAAUUUUGUAUUUUUUGUUUGUAAUUCAAAAAAUCCAUCCACCAAACAAGUUUCACGCAUUUAUGUUAUCAUAAAACAAAAAAAAAAACAGUUUGUGAAAAAAUGGCACCAAACAUACACUUAAUGUCCCACAUGAUUUCUUAUGAAGCCCAUAUUAGAUAUAUUUAUACAUUUUACUGCAUUUAGGACAUGUUUGAUAGCCUGCAUUAUAUAGGAUAAAAACACAAUUUUGUAUUAAAUUAAUGCACACUCACGUUUGGCGCUAAAAGUAACUCCAGCCACAUUGCAUUAAUGGACUGCUAAUGCGGCAAUUGCCGCACUAGCUUGCCUCUUUUUCUUUUUAAUUUUAUUUAUAAUAAUAAUAAUUACAUAAUAUAACUUUUUAUUUUAAUAUAAUAUUAUAUAAUAUUAAGUAUAAUUUUUUUUACAUUAUAAUUAUUGAUAUAAAUUAAUAAAUUAAUUAUUUAUUAUUCAAUAAUAUUAUAUUAUAUAUUUUUUUUAUUUUUACAUUAUAAUUUAUUAGUAAAUUUAUAAUUUAAUAUAAUUAAUAAUAAUAGAAAAUAUCAUUACAUGUACUACAAAACUCUUACUUGGAUUAUUUAACACAAUUUAUUUUAUUCGUGAAUAUGUUAUAACAAUUGUAUCACUUUAUUAUUUUGUUAUUAUUUUGUGGUAUGUAUAAAUUUUUGUUCUAUUAUCCUAAGAUGACUUUUGAACUAAUCUUAUAAGUUUUAACUAUUUAUUUAUGUUGUUAUAUUAUUAGAGAUUAUUUGCUUCGAUCUUUAUUUUACAGGUCAUAUAUUUAGAAAUUACUGAAAAAUAAAUGUUAUACUUCCCAAAAUUUAAGGCUAGAAGCUCGAUCUUUAUGAAGAAUUUUGAUAUUUUUUAACAUUUACACUAAAAAAAAUUGUUAAAUUUCUAAAAUUUAAGACUUCUAUAUUUAAUAUUUUUCUAAUUACUAAUAAGUAUUAUUUUCUAAAUAUAUAAUUUAAAUUAAUCACAAAAAAUUAAUAUAGUACAGUGCAAUAUCAAAUAUAGUAUAAUUAAAAAUUAUACAGUGCAAUAUAGCACCAAAUAUUGUACACUAUUAUUAUAAUAUAGUACUAAUGCAAUACAAUAUAAUACAAUAUAGUGUGCCAAACGCACCCUCAGAAUGUGUUUGGAACAUGGGAUUAUAGGGUAUUAAAACACUGUUCACAUUAGCUUAAUACCAAUCUCAUGUUUGGAAAGAAAUUUUAAGGGAUUAAAGGGGGGUGAGCUAAUGUCAUAACUGCGUCAUUAGUGUCUUGGUUUUUUUUAAAUAAUAAAAAAAAUAUAAAUUCCUAAUUUUAUGUAAAAUUAUAUAAUAUUAAUUUUUAUUUUCUUUGAUCUUUACAUCAUAAUUAUUAAUAUAAGUUAAUAAAUUUAUAAUUUAUUAUUCAUAUUUUAAUUUUUAUUAUAUUAAAAAUAUAACUAAAUAAUUUAAUUUUAAUUCUAUAAUAAUUAAUGUAUAAAAUUGAUUAAUAUUUAAUAAGUCAAUACAACUAGUAAUAAGUGCUUAAAUAAUAUAUAAAAAUAAAAAUAUAACAUAAUAUUACAUUAUUUAAUUAUAUUACAAUAACUAAUAUAUAAAAAUUGAUUAUUAUUUAACAAUUUAAUAUAGCUAAUAAUAGAUACUUAAAUAAUAAUUUAAUAUAACUAAUAAUGAAUAUUUAUAUAUGAAUAUAUUUAAAUAAUAUUAAUUUAAAAUUAAUACCAAUAUAUAUAAUAAUAUAAAAUAUUAUUACAUGUACUGUAGUAUUCUUACUUGGAUUAUUUAGCGCAAUUUAUUUUAUUAGUGAAUAUGUUACAAUUAUUGUAUCACUUUAUUAUUUAAAUUAAUCAAAAAAAUUAAUACAGUACAAGAUAGCACUAAACAUUAUAUAACAUUAUUAAAAUACAGUGUUAAUGCAAUAUAAUGUAAUACAAUACAUCUAUAUUAAAAUAAUAUAAUAUAAUAUAAUUUAAUAUAAUACAAUAUGUCAAAUGCACCCCGUGUAUUUUAAUUUCAAAAGAAGUUGGUCCUUCCUUUAUUUAUAAAAGAUAACUUUAUUUUCAGAUUACCACUAAUUACGAUUAUUUGGUAGACUAUAGACCUAAAAGACAUGUUAGAUUAUAAAACAGUGCGAUUAAAAAAAAAAGAGUAUUUGUGACGUCAAAUAACAAUUGGUAACUAAAAUCCAAAAUAUUUCAGUUGUUAAAAGCAAAUAAAAAAAAGAAGGUAACAGUGAUGCAGAAACACAAUAUUAGCUUAUCUUGAUUUUCCCACUUUAUUCAUUCUCAAUGCUUUUCAAAAGAAAUUCUUCUAAUCCUUCUGGUGUCUGCAGCCCCUUAUCACGGGACGAGAGGUUUUGAGCCCGCGUGGCACUCUCGCAUCCCAUACUACGAGAGUAAACCUAGUGGAAGUGGCACAAUAUCGACUGGUUUCACCCUGCCUUGGGCUCAUCAGGAGAACGGCUCCAGUUCCCAACCAGUGUGUGUAGGGCUUCGCUUAGACUCCUCUUCAACGUUAAAUCCUCGACUAGCAACAAGCUCCCCAAAGUCAACUGGGUUGGCCUGCCUGAACUCCAAGAAAUCUAGGAUCAUUGUAUUCCCCACACGCACGCCCCUGAAGCACGUCUCCUGCAAUCAGCACAACUAUUAUCGAUACUAGUGUACAAGCGCAUAUCUUCGGCAUCACAAUUGCAGUCCGUGACACCCUGCUCUUCUUAUAAAACUCCACCCCAAAUCUAUACUACAAACAAGUGGAUUGAAAUUAAAAAAUUGCUUUUUGAAGUGGACCCAUUGAGUCGUGGUCAUUACUCGUCAUUGUCUAUUUUUUCUAUGAGCCAUUUAUUUUGAGCAAUAGUGAGCUUCUCUGAACUACUCCAAUUAUUGAUGUAACUCCAGUGGCUGCAUCCAUAGUUGAAUAUAUGAUAGUAUUAGCUCUUAUUUGAGAAUAUAGGGGGAUCUUUCUUUGUUUCUUUGUUGCAAUGUUCUAGUAUAUAGUCUUGCUGUUAAUGAAUUCACUGAGGCAUUAUUAAUUCAAUUUCAGUGAAGUAAUUAUGGAUGAAAAAUAAAUAAAGGAUAACAGAAUAGAGCUGAAGUGCUGAAUCGGCUAUUAAAGAAAGUGUCACGCGAUCACAAUCACACUGAUGCACAACUCUCUCGAGGCAAAUUUUGUCUAUAUGUACUCCAAAUUCAGCCAAACCAUACAUGCCUCAACAAAAUUAAACCGUAGUUCUCAUCACUACAGUAAUUGAAGCCCACAAAGACAGCUGAAAUGGAAACUUAAAACGAAGAUCUUAUUCGAGUUUGUCCCCAAAAGACAGCUGAAAUGGAAAAUAUUGACUAUUGAAUGGAUCAAUGCUGAAUUACAUUUGAAAUGGGAAGCUUGGCUGCGGUUACGAUGUUUCCCCCUCUGAUUUUUCUCCAAAACAAAUUCCGUUGUAAAUAAUAUUCAAUGUAGCAACAAUUUAUUCAGCAAAGAAAAUACCUAAUUUUUCAACUAACAAAUUCUCUUGUCUAAACUAAAAAAACUCACAUCUCUCCAAUCUAUCUACAAAUUUGGAGAUGAGAGGUGAUUUGUCAACUCGGUAAAUAAAUUCAUGCAUAAUGUUACCAAUAAUUAUAAAUUACAUAAUAAUUCUUAUAAGAAUCAUAAUAAAGGAACCUUAACCAUUUUACAAUCUAUUACAUAAGUAAGAUUAAUCUUAUAAUAAGUUAACUUAUAACUUAAUAAAUAUUUUCAAUUCAUAAUUAUUUAAGAAGUCACUUAACAAUAAAAUAUUUUUUUAUUUAAUUGAUCAUGUCAUAUAACGUUAUCUAAACUCCCGACGAUAUUAUUAUUACUCACUUUUCUCAAAAAAACAUGACUAACGUUUAGAGAAAAGUCAUGUCUUUUAGAUUGAUAGAAUACGAUUACAAACUAUCCAUACUUUAUCGUAGGCUAUAGAAACCCUUACCCAAGCAUGACAGUCAAAAUAGAACUUGACACGGUUAUUAUUGUAAGUAUCUGCAGCAAAAGCAGUCUUAUCGAAGCCACUGCUGUCGAGAAUUGCAACCACUGAAAGCCCAGAUGGUCCCUCAAUCAAUAGAUCAAAAAACUUCUCUCUGCCCCUUUCAAAUUCACUGAUAUCGAGCCGAGGUUGUCCCUCACUCAAUAGGCGUAUGAUUUCGUUCCUUUUUUCACUGAUAUCAAAACCAUUGUCGCCGGGUGGAAGUUGUUGCAUCCGAUUUCUAAUAUCAAUGAUUUUAGUGUGGAGUCCAACAAGAAGAGCCAUAUCAGUACUGCUUUCACUUUCGUUUUCACUGUUUUGCUGCUGCAUGAUUUUGAUGAAGAAUGUGUCAAUGGCUUCCUCAGAUUCAUGGACAAAGUCAUUGAUGUCCUCCAGAAUUUCAAAAAUAUCUGCUGUUUCAACGUCUUCUUCAUCGCUUUCUUCUAAGUCCAACAGUUGCAAAAAAGGCAAUGAUAUUUUGGAGUCAUCUAAUUCUUCUCUAAGGAGUUGAAACAAAUGCCGAGCCAUGUCAGCUUCAUAGUUUCCCAGCAGAGUAGUAGCAAUAAUUUCGGACUCCGUAAGAAGGUUUUGAAAACGUGGAGUUAAAUUUGUUGAAUCUGGCAAAGUUAACGUGCCUUCUUCACCUGCUAACACCCUUUUCAACCUCUCACAAAACAGUCGGAGGUGGAAUUCCAGCAUAUCUCCUUCUCUCCGUAGCACUCAGAGGUAUAGCUGAAAGAUUAAACACCAUGGAAGAAUUUGAAAGGAAAAUGCCAAGAAAUUGUGUAAGUGGCUAAAUUCCACAAAUAUGACAUUAUUGCUCAUUUUUUAACUCAAAAAAAGGGUACGCGUUCAUUUAGAGAAAAGUCCAAGACGCGUGCUUUUUGAAAAGAACAGGUAUCCCAAUCGGUAUCCAACCUUUAUCUUAUUUAAUUACUACCAUGACAUAAUUGAUGGUGCUUAAAUCAAUUGUUUCUUUUUUAAUUUAAAGAAUUUUUCAUUAAAAAAAUAUUUUAAUAUCAAAUUGCCUUCAGUGGCGUAACAACUGCCUGAAGCCCAGUAACAGGACUAAUUAAAAAUUUUACAAUUUUUGGGCAUGGAAAUAGUAGUAUUAAACAUUAGAAAGGUGAGGUUGUUCUGUUAAAGAAUUGAUAUUGACAUAAUUUUAUUUUGGUUUUCGUGGAAAACAAAAAUAUUUGUUGACAAGCAAGAAAAUAUUUUUAUUUUUUAAAAUUUAUUAUGCAUAUUUUAUCAUAUUGAAGUAAUUUUAAUAAUAAAUAGAAACAUAAUAUUACAAUAAAUAAAUUAAAAUUUAACUUAUUUUGAAUAUUAUAAAAAAUAAUUUUAAUAUUAUUAAUAGGAAGACAUUGUAUUAAUUUUAAAAUUUUUUAACCCAAAGGUUUAUUUAAAAUCUUUAUUAUAAAUACAAAUAUAAAAUUAAAUAUCAUAAUUUAAAAUUUUUAAUAUUAUUUUAAGUAUUAAAAAUAUUUUAAUGUUAUUAGUCUACUACAUAGAUCAUAUUACUUAUAUAAUAUUUGUAUUAUUAAAAAUUUUUAAAAUCAAAUUUUUAGUUAGUAUAUUCAUGAGGUAUUAUGGUUACAAAAAAAAGACCUUAUUAUUACUUUUUAAAAAAUUGAGGGUCUGCGAUGAUAAUUUUUUCAAAAAGAAAAUACAUGGUAUGUAGGAGGGGUAGAGAAACAGGACUUCCAAAAUCUCUCACCCUUCUUUAAUUAAAAAAAAAAUUAAAAUAUUAAUAAAAAAUAAUAAAGAAAAUAGAAUUUUAUCUGCUCCUUACUCCAUUUUUGCAACUCUCUCAACAUCUCUGUCGAGCAGCCUUCUCUCUCAUUGUCUCUCACUAUUUCACGAUCUCUCUCUCACUCACACAGGCAAUGACCAUCUCAUCAUCGGCGGUCGUGUCGUCAGUGUCACUGGUCUUGCUCGACCGAGACAGUGAGAGAGAGGUUUGUUAGAUGGAGUGAUGAUAAAGGAUUCUAUUUUUUUUAUUAAUAUUUUAAUUUUUAAAAUUAAAAUGUGCUGCCGUUUCUCUUGUCUUUUUAGCUGUUUAGCAGCACUCUUUUCAAAAUUUAAGAAUGUAGGUGUCCUAUAAGAGAUCGAUAAAAGAACGUCAAUUAAAUUUAUAAAAAUAUGAUAAAAGAACGUCAAUUACUUGUCUUUUAGGGAAUCCAAUGAGAAAUAUGAUAAAAGAACGUCAAUUACUUGUCAUUUUCAAUUUUUUUCUGUAAGCUAUUUAUUUUGAGCAUUAGUGCUCUUGUCUGGACUACUCCAAUUAUUGACGUAACUCCAGUGGCUGCAAUUAAUGAUAUAAAGCUGAGACUUUUGACCAAGUUAUCUAGUUGGGAAAGCAAAUUUUUUUCCAGUGGGGGCAAAGAAGUGUUGAUUAAAACUGUUGCUCAGGCUGUGCCAGUCUAUGCAAUGAGUGUUUUUAAGAUCCCUCAUAGCUUUUGUGAUGACAUUGAGAAGGCUAUUGCUCGUUUCUGGUGGGGUUCCUCUGAAACAAAAAGAAGCAUUCACUGGACAAGGUGGGAACGGUUGUGCCACGCCAAGAUAAGGGGGGGAUUGGGUUUUAGAGAUUUCUCUAGUUUUAACCAAGCCUUAAUUGCUAAGCAGGGGUGGAGAAUUCUGCAGCACCCUGACUCUUUAAUGGCAAAGAUUCUGAAAGCAAAAUAUUUUAAGCAUACUGGUUUUAUGGAUGCGAAAUUGGGUUCACACCCCUCUUUUGUUUGGAGAAGUAUAUUAUGGGGUAGGCAAGUGCUCCAUAACGGCCUAAGAUGGAGAAUCGGCUGUGGGAGUCAGGUUUUAAUUUCCAGUAGCAAUUGGAUAAAAAACCAUAAGCUUCACAGUUUGGUUCCAUAUUCAAAUCUACCUCCUGAAACUGUAGUUGUUGACCUUAUUGAUGAAAGUCACCAAUGGAAAGAAGAUAUGGUUUUCCAACAUUUUCCAAUGGAUGUUGCAAAGAGGAUCACAAGAACCCCUCUCCCAAAAACUCCCCAGCAGGAUCUUCUCAUUUGGAAAUAUGAUAAGCACAGAAUUUACUCGGUGAAGAGUGGGUAUCAAUUGGCUGUUAAGCAAAAAUUCCAAAAUUAUCCAAGUUGUUCAGAUGUUACCAAGUCAAGGUGGGAGGUGAUAUGGGCUACGGAUCUUCUAGGAAAAGUCAAGAUUUUUAUUUGGAGGGCUGCUCAAAAUCUUCUCCCUACAGUUGGAAAUCUAUGGAGGAGGAGGGUGGUGAAGGAUUAUUUUUGCCAAAGAUGUAAUUGCAGAGGAGAGGAUGUCUUCCAUGCUUUAAUAGAGUGCAGGGCAGCUAAAAGGGUUUGGAAGUUGACUGAAUUUUAUGAGGAUGUAAAGCAAUUAGCUCGGCAAGACAUGUUGAGUGUGCUGCAGGAUUUAGCUGUGAAGAGAAAAAAGAAUGAGCUGGAGCUUGUUGUUGCGGUGUGCUGGGCCAUCUGGUACUCUAGGAAUCGUUUGGUGUUUGAAGGAAAGGAAGAAGAUCCAAAAACUUCAGUGGCCAGAGCAAUUGCUAUGGUGGAAUCAUACAGGCGAAUAAAAGUUCCAAAUGAACAAAAUUCUCCAGGCCAUAGCAGAAUCAGUCAACUAGAAUGGGCAAAUCCUCCAAAGGGGUGUUAUAAAGUCAACGUUGAUGCUGCAAUUAAUGUUUCAAACCAAAAGGCAGGGUUGGGUGUAGUGUUUAAGAGUGACUAACUAUCCCAAUCAACUCAAAACACUUCCCAAGAUCACACCCAAACAAACAAGAUGUACCAAGAAUCAAUCCAGUAGAAUACACACAGAUUAUUAGAACUGAAAGAAUUAAAGAAAAGGACAAGAAUUAACGUGGUUCAGCUAGCUUCAGUCUAGCUUACAUCCACGGGAGAAACAGAACCCAAUUGUAUUGAUUGUUUAAAGGAGUUACAGAGAGUUCAUCAAGCUUGUUACAGAGUCUCUCAAGAAGCCUUUUGUUAUUAAUCUUCUCAACUCACAAUAGCUCUCUCUUCUUUUUUCUCAGUUGCCAGAAUCAGCUGUAUAUAACAGCUUGUUAACGAAUCAGCAACCAACCCAGAAACCCACGUGACAGUCAUGUGAGUUAACUGAUUCUAACGAACCAAGAACGCAACUUAUCCAUGCACGUGAAACUCUCGUGCAUCACUUAACCAAAACGACCUUCAUACAUGUCGUUCCAGGAGAUACGAGUUUGACUUUCCAAAACGCAGCAUCAGCUGACGUUUUCACAAACAGAUUUGCUUCACAUCACAACAAUUCUCCACCUUGAACAAAUCACUCUCUGAUCCUGAUUUCUCCAACCUGAGUAUUUAGAAUUCACUCAGCCCAGCUUUGUCCAAGCCGCUCUUGAACUUAGCUGUAGUUACAACCUUAGUAAGCAUGUCAGCAGGAUUAUCAUCUGUAUGCACUUUCACCAUGCUAAUCACACCUUUAGAGAUCACAUUUCUGAUAAAAUGUAACUUGAUAUCUAUGUGUUUAGUUUUUUCAUGGUGAGCUGGGUUCUUACUCAAGUAAAUUGCACUUGAGCUGUCACAAUGAACUUCCACAGUCUCCUGCUUCAUCCCCAGUUCUGUUAUCAACCCUCUCAGCCACAGAGCUUCCUUGACAGCUUCUGUUGCAGCAGUAUAUUCAGCCUCUGUUGUUGACAAAGCUACAACAUGCUGCAAUCUUGCCUUCCAGUUAACAAGGCAACCAUCCAAGAAAAACAUAUAGCCAGUUAAAGAUCUCCUUCUGUCUAAGUCCCCAGCAUAGUCUGAGUCAACAUAACCACAGAGACCUGCAAUCUUUCCAGCUGAUUUUCCAUAUACCAACCCAUACUGUUGUGUACCUUUCAGAUACCUCAGCACCCAUUUAACAGCCUUCCAGUGCUCCUUUCCAGGUGUAGCCAUAAACCUACUUACAACACUUAAAGCAUGAGCUAAGUCUGGUCUUGUAAGUACCAUUGCAUACAUCAUGCAACCAACAGCAUUUGCAUAAGGAACCUUUGUCAUUUCAUUCCUCUCUUCAUCUGUACUGGGGCAUUGUGAACAUGACAGCUUGAAGUGAGAUGCAAGAGGGGUUACUACUGACUUGCUGUUUGACAUCCCAAAAGUUCCCAGUACCUUCUCUAGAUACUUCCCUUGAGACAGAAUCAUAGUACCCUUCUUCCUGUUCCUUAUUAUUUCCAUACCCAAAAUCUUCCUAGCUGGACCCAAGUCUUUCAUAUCAAAUUCUGAAUUGAGCAGUUGCUUCAAAGCCUCAAUCUCUUCCCUUUCAUUACAAGCAAUCAACAUAUCAUCUACAUAUAACAGCAGAUAUAUGUAGUUGCCUGAUUGUAUGAUCUUGUAGUAAACACAUACAUCAUAGCUGCACCUUAGAUACCCAUGAGUGACCAUAAACUCAUCAAAUCUAAGGUACCACUGUCUGGGUGAUUGUUUCAGCCCAUACAGUGACCUCUUCAGCAGACACACACAGUCAGCAGAUUCAGGACUUGUGUACCCUUCAGGCUGUGUCAUCAAGAUGUCCUCAUUUAAUCUUCCAUGUAGAAAGGCUGUCUUGACAUUGAGUUGAUCAAGCUCCAUGUCUUUUACAGCUGUUAAAGCCAGUAGCACUCUGAUUGAUGUGUGUCUGACUACUGGUGAGAACACCUCUUUGAAAUCCACUCCAGCCCUCUGUGUGUAACCCUUGGCCACUAACCUAGCUUUGAAUCUUCUAGGUUCAGUAGCUGUUAGUCCAUCUUUGACUUUGUAGAUCCAUUUACAUCCUACUGUUCUGCUGUUGGCAGGUCUUUUAAUCAGCUCCCAUGUAUUGUUCUUCUUCAGUGAAUAGAUUUCCUCAUCCAUGGCCUUUUUCCACUCAUCUUUGUAUGGUCCCUGGAUAGCCUCUUUGUAGUUCUUGGGUUUAUCAUCAUCAAUUUGAUGAGAUGCUGUUAAUGCAUAGGCUAUCAGAUCUGCAUAUCCAUAUCUGACAGGUGCUUUUGCUUUCCUUCUUUCUCUGUCUCUUGUCAGCUGGUACUCCUGAUGCUGAGCUUCAGUCUGCUUUACAUGAUCAGUUUCUAGAUCAGUAGCUCCUUGAUAAGAGUCAUCUUCAUCUUCUGAAGCUUCUCUAGUGUAGGGCUCCACCUCAAACUGAAUCUUGGUUCUCUCCUUCUCCUUUGGUGUAUCUGUGUCAGUAGGUUUCUUCAUUUCCAGUGCAGCUUUCUCAUUGAAUAUUACAUCUCUACUGAUUAUGCACUUGGGGGGAUUAAGGUCUGUACACCACAGUUUGAAGCCUUUAACACCUUCAGGAUACCCAAUGAACUUUCCUUUAAGGGUUCUUGGAGCUAACUUCCCUUGGCUCACAUGUGCAUAAGCUGGACAUCCAAAUACUUUGAGGCUGCCAUAGUCUGCUGGUUUUCCAUGCCAUUUCUCAAAUGGGGUUUUGAAGUCAAGUGCUGCAGAGGGACUUAGAUUUACCAGAUAGCUUGCUGUUAACAGAGUCUCAGCCCACAAUCCUUUUGGAAGUUGUGACUGGAUCAUCAUGCUUCUUACUCUGUCCAUCAGGGUUCUGUUCAUUCUUUCGGCUAACCCAUUUUGUUGAGGAGUCAGCCUUACAGUUCUAUGCCUUGCAAUGCCAUGAUCUGCACAGUAGCUAUCAAACUCCUGAUUGCAAAACUCAAGACCAUUGUCUGUUCUGAGUUUCUUUACCUUCAAUCCAGUUUGAUUUUCAACCAGGGAUUUCCACUCUCUGAAUUUUCCAAAUACCUGAUCCUUGUGCUUUAAGACAUAAACCCAUACUCUCCUUGAAUAAUCAUCUAUUAAAGACAAGAAAUAGGUGUUGCCACCUAGUGACAUUGUCUGUGCUGGUCCCCAUAAAUCUGAGUGUAUGUAUUCAAGGAUGCCUUUUGUUGAAUGAACUGAUUUUCCAAAGCUACUUCUUGUAGCUUUGCCUAGUACACAGUCUUCACAAAAAUUCAGUUCUGAGAUUUGACUGCUGCCUAGAACCCCUUGCUUCUGUAAUUCUUUCAGACCUCUCAAGCUCAUAUGUCCUAAUCUAAGGUGCCACAGCAGAGUGUUAUCACAGCUUGAACUGAUUAACACUCCUGACACACCAGUUAUAGCUUCCCCAUUCAAAACAUAAACCCCAUUUCUCUUGUAACCUUUCAUAACUAUCCCAUCUUCAUUUGAAAUUCUCAGCUCACCAGAUUCAAGCUUAAUGCUAAGCCCCAUUUGGUCAAGCAUACCUAGAGAUAUUAAGUUCCUUUUAAGUUCAGGAACAUACCUAACUUCCCUUAAUUCUCUUAUUGUUCCAUCAUGCAAUUUUAGGUUUAUAUUUCCUAUCCCCGCAAUUUUACAAACAGCAUUGUUACCCAUCAUAACUUUUCCUCCAUCAGUUUCAUGAUAGUUUAAUAGGUAAUCUUUAAAGGGGCACAUAUGAAAUGUACAACCUGAGUCUAGAAUCCAGGUACCUUUUUGCACAUGCUCUGUAGCCACACAUACUCCUGCUGACUCAUACCCCUCUUCCUCAGCAGUAGCAGCAGCUCCAUUUUGUUCCCUUUUCUUGUUCUUGAGUUCUGGGCAAUCUCUCUUGAAAUGCCCUUCUUUCUGGCACUGAAAACAUUUCUUGCCUUUAGUCUUUUGUUUGUUGUUCCCUUGCUUCUUUUUCUUUCCAUCAUACUUAUCAGUUCUUGCUUUUACUGCCAAUACUUCUCCAGAGUUCAUAUUCCCUGACUUUUCUUGCAGCCCUCUAGUAUUCAGGGCAGCCUUAACUUCAUCCAAUGAUAAAGUCUGUCUCCCAUACAUGAGUGCAUCCACAAAGUUUGAAUAUGAGGAUGGAAGUGAACUAACCAGAAGCAAUGCUUUACCUUCAUCAUCUAAACCUUCAUCAAUUAUUUCCAAUGUAUCACAGACCUGAUUGAAUUCAUCAAUGUGGUCUUCGAGAGAUGACCCUUCAGCCAUCUUUAGUGUGAACAUUCUUUUCUUGAUGUAAAGUCUGUUGGCUAAUGAUUUAGUCAUAUACACCCUUUCAAGCUUUGCCCACAGAUCAGCCACUGUUCUUUCUCUUGCAACUUCCCUGAUCACCGAGUCUCCAAGACUCAAGAUUAUGGUACUCCUUGCCUUUUUGUCAAUCUCAGCAGCUUGUUGUGGUGUUAGUGAUGAUGAAGAUGUGGAGGCUUCUAAUCCUUCUUUCUUGAUGAUAGGUUCUAAGGCAUCACCUAGCCCUUGAGUGAUCAGUAAUGCCUCCAUUUUAACCUUCCACAUGUUGAAGUCAUUCUUCCCUGUAAACUUCUCUAGAUCGAUCUUUGAACCAACCAUACUUGUGUCUGAUUUGUAAUCCAAGCUCUGAUACCAAUUGUAGUGUUUAAGAGUGACUAACUAUCCCAAUCAACUCAAAACACUUCCCAAGAUCACACCCAAACAAACAAGAUGUACCAAGAAUCAAUCCAGUAGAAUACACACAGAUUAUUAGAACUGAAAGAAUUAAAGAAAAGGACAAGAAUUAACGUGGUUCAGCUAGCUUCAGUCUAGCUUACAUCCACGGGAGAAACAGAACCCAAUUGUAUUGAUUGUUUAAAGGAGUUACAGAGAGUUCAUCAAGCUUGUUACAGAGUCUCUCAAGAAGCCUUUUGUUAUUAAUCUUCUCAACUCACAAUAGCUCUCUCUUCUUUUUUCUCAGUUGCCAGAAUCAGCUGUAUAUAACAGCUUGUUAACGAAUCAGCAACCAACCCAGAAACCCACGUGACAGUCAUGUGAGUUAACUGAUUCUAACGAACCAAGAACGCAACUUAUCCAUGCACGUGAAACUCUCGUGCAUCACUUAACCAAAACGACCUUCAUACAUGUCGUUCCAGGAGAUACGAGUUUGACUUUCCAAAACGCAGCAUCAGCUGACGUUUUCACAAACAGAUUUGCUUCACAUCACAACAUUGGGGGUAGUCAUUAGAAACUCUGUGGGUAAGGUUGUUGCUGCAGCAGUCCAAAGAGCUCCAUAUAGGGGAGAUGUGGCGUGUAUGGAGGUUGAAGCUGUUCUGUUUGGUAUUCAGAGUGCCCAACAAGCAGCUGUUUUCCCAAUAAUUAUUGAGUCGGAUUCAAAGGAAGUGGUGGAUCUAUCCUUAAAGAAAAAGAUCAGCAAGACUGAAAUUGAGUGGAAAAUUGCAGAAAUCCAAGCAAAUCUGGAAAAUCAGAAUGUGUCCUCGCUGUCAUAUGUCCCUAGAAGCUGUAACUCUAUUGCUCAUUCUAUUGCAAAGAUAGCUCUAGGUUUUGAAAGUCAAGUCUUUUGGCUGGAAAACUUUCCAGAACAUAUCAGGUGUACUCUUGCUAAGUUCAUCAAUUGAAAAGCUUUACUUUGCUCAUCAAAAAAAAAAAAAAAAAAAAACUCCAGUGGCUGCAUCCACUGGAAAAAGUGGAUGAGAACCAUUUUUUUUUCAUAAAGGUAACUACUCACAUAAUUGAUGGUGCUUAAAUCAAUUUUUUUUUUAAUUUAAAGAAUUUUGCUUUAAAAAAUAAUUAAUAUCAAAAUGCCUUCAAUGUUGUUACCCUCACAAGCCCAGUUAGAGGACUCAUUAAAAAUUUUAGAAUUUUCAGGCCUGGAAAGCGUAGUAUUAAACAUCAGAAAGCAAAGGUUUUUAUGUCGAAGAAUUGAUGUCGACAAAAUUUUAUUUUAGUUUUUGGGAAAAAAAAUAUUUUGUUGACAAGCAAGAAAAUAUUUUUUAUACUUUACAAUCUGCCUUCUCUCUCAUUGUCUCUCACUAUUUCACGAUCUCUCUCUCACUCACACAGGCAAUGACCAUCUCAUCAUCGGCGUUCGUGUCGUCAGUGUCACUGGUCUUGCUCGACCGAGACAGUGAGAGAGAGGUUUGUUAGAUGGAGUGAUGAUAAAGGAUUCUAUUUUUUUUAUUAAUAUUUUAAUUUUUAAAAUUAAAAUGUGCUGCCGUUUCUCUUGUCUUUUUAGCUGUUUAGCAGCACUCUUUUCAAAAUUUAAGAAUGUAGGUGUCCUAUAAGAGAUCGAUAAAAGAACGUCAAUUAAAUUUAUAAAAAUAUGAUAAAAGAACGUCAAUUACUUGUCUUUUAGGGAAUCCAAUGAGAAAUAUGAUAAAAGAACGUCAAUUACUUGUCAUUUUCAAUUUUUUUCUGUAAGCUAUUUAUUUUGAGCAUUAGUGCUCUUGUCUGGACUACUCCAAUUAUUGACGUAACUCCAGUGGCUGCAAUUAAUGAUAUAAAGCUGAGACUUUUGACCAAGUUAUCUAGUUGGGAAAGCAAAUUUUUUUCCAGUGGGGGCAAAGAAGUGUUGAUUAAAACUGUUGCUCAGGCUGUGCCAGUCUAUGCAAUGAGUGUUUUUAAGAUCCCUCAUAGCUUUUGUGAUGACAUUGAGAAGGCUAUUGCUCGUUUCUGGUGGGGUUCCUCUGAAACAAAAAGAAGCAUUCACUGGACAAGGUGGGAACGGUUGUGCCACGCCAAGAUAAGGGGGGGAUUGGGUUUUAGAGAUUUCUCUAGUUUUAACCAAGCCUUAAUUGCUAAGCAGGGGUGGAGAAUUCUGCAGCACCCUGACUCUUUAAUGGCAAAGAUUCUGAAAGCAAAAUAUUUUAAGCAUACUGGUUUUAUGGAUGCGAAAUUGGGUUCACACCCCUCUUUUGUUUGGAGAAGUAUAUUAUGGGGUAGGCAAGUGCUCCAUAACGGCCUAAGAUGGAGAAUCGGCUGUGGGAGUCAGGUUUUAAUUUCCAGUAGCAAUUGGAUAAAAAACCAUAAGCUUCACAGUUUGGUUCCAUAUUCAAAUCUACCUCCUGAAACUGUAGUUGUUGACCUUAUUGAUGAAAGUCACCAAUGGAAAGAAGAUAUGGUUUUCCAACAUUUUCCAAUGGAUGUUGCAAAGAGGAUCACAAGAACCCCUCUCCCAAAAACUCCCCAGCAGGAUCUUCUCAUUUGGAAAUAUGAUAAGCACAGAAUUUACUCGGUGAAGAGUGGGUAUCAAUUGGCUGUUAAGCAAAAAUUCCAAAAUUAUCCAAGUUGUUCAGAUGUUACCAAGUCAAGGUGGGAGGUGAUAUGGGCUACGGAUCUUCUAGGAAAAGUCAAGAUUUUUAUUUGGAGGGCUGCUCAAAAUCUUCUCCCUACAGUUGGAAAUCUAUGGAGGAGGAGGGUGGUGAAGGAUUAUUUUUGCCAAAGAUGUAAUUGCAGAGGAGAGGAUGUCUUCCAUGCUUUAAUAGAGUGCAGGGCAGCUAAAAGGGUUUGGAAGUUGACUGAAUUUUAUGAGGAUGUAAAGCAAUUAGCUCGGCAAGACAUGUUGAGUGUGCUGCAGGAUUUAGCUGUGAAGAGAAAAAAGAAUGAGCUGGAGCUUGUUGUUGCGGUGUGCUGGGCCAUUUGGUACUCUAGGAAUCGUUUGGUGUUUGAAGGAAAGGAAGAAGAUCCAAAAACUUCAGUGGCCAGAGCAAUUGCUAUGGUGGAAUCAUACAGGCGAAUAAAAGUUCCAAAUGAACAAAAUUCUCCAGGCCAUAGCAGAAUCAGUCAACUAGAAUGGGCAAAUCCUCCAAAGGGGUGUUAUAAAGUCAACGUUGAUGCUGCAAUUAAUGUUUCAAACCAAAAGGCAGGGUUGGGUGUAGUGUUUAAGAGUGACUAACUAUCCCAAUCAACUCAAAACACUUCCCAAGAUCACACCCAAACAAACAAGAUGUACCAAGAAUCAAUCCAGUAGAAUACACACAGAUUAUUAGAACUGAAAGAAUUAAAGAAAAGGACAAGAAUUAACGUGGUUCAGCUAGCUUCAGUCUAGCUUACAUCCACGGGAGAAACAGAACCCAAUUGUAUUGAUUGUUUAAAGGAGUUACAGAGAGUUCAUCAAGCUUGUUACAGAGUCUCUCAAGAAGCCUUUUGUUAUUAAUCUUCUCAACUCACAAUAGCUCUCUCUUCUUUUUUCUCAGUUGCCAGAAUCAGCUGUAUAUAACAGCUUGUUAACGAAUCAGCAACCAACCCAGAAACCCACGUGACAGUCAUGUGAGUUAACUGAUUCUAACGAACCAAGAACGCAACUUAUCCAUGCACGUGAAACUCUCGUGCAUCACUUAACCAAAACGACCUUCAUACAUGUCGUUCCAGGAGAUACGAGUUUGACUUUCCAAAACGCAGCAUCAGCUGACGUUUUCACAAACAGAUUUCGUUCACAUCACAACAUUGGGGGUAGUCAUUAGAAACUCUGUGGGUAAGGUUGUUGCUGCAGCAGUCCAAGGAGCUCCAUAUAGGGGAGAUGUGGCGUGUAUGGAGGUUGAAGCUGUUCUGUUUGGUAUUCAGAGUGCCCAACAAGCAGCUGUUUUCCCAAUAAUUAUUGAGUCGGAUUCAAAGGAAGUGGUGGAUCUAUCCUUAAAGAAAAAGAUCAGCAAGACUGAAAUUGAGUGGAAAAUUGCAGAAAUCCAAGCAAAUCUGGAAAAUCAGAAUGUGUCCUCGCUGUCAUAUGUCCCUAGAAGCUGUAACUCUAUUGCUCAUUCUAUUGCAAAGAUAGCUCUAGGUUUUGAAAGUCAAGUCUUUUGGCUGGAAAACUUUCCAGAACAUAUCAGGUGUACUCUUGCUAAGUUCAUCAAUUGAAAAGCUUUACUUUGCUCAUCAAAAAAAAAAAAAAAAAAAAAACUCCAGUGGCUGCAUCCACUGGAAAAAGUGGAUGAGAACCAUUUUUUUUUCAUAAAGGUAACUACUCACAUAAUUGAUGGUGCUUAAAUCAAUUUUUUUUUUAAUUUAAAGAAUUUUGCUUUAAAAAAUAAUUAAUAUCAAAAUGCCUUCAAUGUUGUUACCCUCACAAGCCCAGUUAGAGGACUCAUUAAAAAUUUUAGAAUUUUCAGGCCUGGAAAGCGUAGUAUUAAACAUCAGAAAGCAAAGGUUUUUAUGUCGAAGAAUUGAUGUCGACAAAAUUUUAUUUUAGUUUUUGGGAAAAAAAAUAUUUUGUUGACAAGCAAGAAAAUAUUUUUUAUACUUUACAAUCUGCUAUACAUAUUUUAUCAUAUUAAAGUAAUUUUAAUAAUAUAUGGAAACAUAAUAUUUUAAUAAAUAAAUUAAAAUUACUUUGAAUUAUUGAAUAUUACAAAAAGAUAAUUUUAAUAUUAUUAAUAGGAAAACAUUUUUUAAUUGUAAAAUCUUUUUAAUACAAAAAUUCAUUUAAAAUCUUUAUAAUAAAUACAAAUAUAAAAUUAAAAAAUAUUAUAAUUUAAAAUUUUUAAUAGUAUUUAAAUAUUAAAAAUACUUUAAUAUUAUUAAUCUACUACAUCAAAUAUAUUAUUUAUAUUAUAUUCGUAUUGAUUAAAACGUUUUAAAGUCAAAUUUUUAAUUAGUGUAUUCAAAGGUACAAAAGAUUUUAGUAUUAUUUUUUAAAAAUUUCAGGAUAUGAAUGUUAAUUUUUUUCAAAUUUUAAAGAUGUAAAAAUCUUUUUUUCUGAUAAUUUAUUUCACUUUUGAGAGAAUCCGAAAACGUUAAUUUAACAUUCUUUACCUUUGUGAAAAAAGUGAAAAUCAAGAACUAUUCAAUUUUGUUUUUAUUUGUAAUUCAAAAACUUUAUUCAUUUUGGAUGCUUUUCAAAAGAGAUUCCUUUAAAUCCUUUUGGUGUCUGCAGCUCCUGCUAUUCUCAUAAGUCUCCAUCCCACAUCUACACUAUCAAACAAGUUGAUGGAAAUUCUUAUAAAAAAAAAAAAAAAGUCGAUGGAAAUUGAUCAAUUGCUUUUUGAAAUGGACCCAUUGAGUCAUGUUCAUUUCUGGUCAUUGUCUACUCUUUCUAUCAGCCAUUAAUUUUGACCAUUUGCGAUCUUAUCUGGACCAACUCCAAUUAUUUAUGUAACGAACUCCAAAGGUUGCAUCUACAGUUGAAUGUAAGAUAGCGAAGGCUCUUCUUUGAGAAAAUAGAGGAACCUUUCUCUGUUUCUCCGUUGCAACGUGCUCAUAUAAAUUUCUUUACCUUACAGUUUAUACGGUCUUGCUGUUAAUGAAUUCGCUGAGGCAUUAUUGAUCCAAUCUGAGUGAAGUAAUUGUGGCUGAAAAAUAAAUAAAGGAUAUGAGAACGUAGCUGAAGUGCUGAAGGGGCUAUUAAAGAAGAGUGUCACUUGAUCACAAUCACAUUGAUGCACAACUCACUCGUGGCAAAUUUCGACUAUACGUACUGCAAAUUCAGCCAAACCAUACAUGCAUGAACAAAACAUCUUCUCUAAACUAAAAAGCCCACAUCUCUAAAAUCAAUCUACAUAAUGUUGGAGAUGAGGGGUGAAUUGUUAACUCAGUAAAAAAAAAAAACUCAUGCAUAAGAUUACUAAUAAUAUAAAUUAUAUAUUAAUCAUUAUAAAGAAUCAUAAAUUAGAAAAAUUAAUCAUUUUAUAAUUUAUUACACAAGUAUGAUAAAUCUUAUAAUAAGUUAUAACAUAAAAAAACGUUAUCAAUAAAUAAUCAUUUAAGAAGUCAUUUAACAAUAAAAUCGUUCUUUGAUCAGUUGGUCAUGUCACAUAGUAUCAUCUAUAUUUAUGGUGAUAAUAUUAUUACUUAGUAUUAUCAAAAAACAUGAUUUAACAUUUAGAGGAAAUUCUUGCCUUUUAAAAAAAACAUGUAUGCAACAGCUACCCAUGCUUUAUCUUACCAUGACAAAUAUUUUCUCAAUGAAAGAAUUUUUUUUUAAAAUUGAUUUAAUGCACAAAUAUGAUGAUUUUUGCCAAAAAUUAAUUUUGGAAAACAUAGUGAGAGAAAAUAGUGACGAUUAUUGUUUAGAUGUAUAAAUAGCCUAAACAUAAUCCUUAAUACCAGUAUCCAUGUGCAUCUUAGCAUCUUUUAUGAUAUUCUUUCAUUUAUGUCCAUUGGUUCAAGAUUUGAAUUUGAUCAUUAAAUCAUAUUCAAUAAUAUUAGAGAUUCCAAAAAUUGAGUACCAACUUAAAUCCCAAUGUUAUGUUUCAUUGACCAAUGUCGUGUCAUUUUCUUAUUAACUAGGUGAUGAAUUUCUAGUUGAUAAAAUCACUUAAAAAUAUCUUAAAAAUCAGACAAUAGUUUGCUUAAUUUUUCCAAGUUAACUGCUCAAGAUGCUCUAUUAUAAAUGAUAACCUAAUUAUAUUCAUAAAAAAUGAUAUAUUUUUUGUGGUGUUGAUAAUGAGAUUAUCAUUCAACAUUUUAAAAUGUGAAAACAUAUGGAAGAUGGUUGUAAAUUGAUUGAAUGAAAAUAUUUCAGUGAAGUCUCAAAAAUUUGGUACUUGUUGUCUUAUCGAAAGUUUUCUAAAUUAUAUUCGUGGCACAGCCACUAUCCAAACCAUACAAGUCCAAAGCUAUCCAAACCAUACCUGCAAGUCCGGGGCUUAAAUGGAGUACUUCUAAGCAAAAAAACAUUGACUAAAAUAGAAUAUAUACAUACAGACACACAUACAUACCAGCAUAUUCAAAAUAGCAAAAGGAGUGCAAAGUUCAAGUUUGUAGACAACAUUGCAACCAUAGCAUGUUUAUAGCAAAUCCUCAAAAUCUGCUAAAUAAAACAAUGCCCUGUCUCAUGAAUCAAUGCUGAAUUAAAAUUGAAACUGAAAGUCUGGAUGGUGUUGUUUGUUGAGAAUGUCAAAUAAAACGGCAUUGAAGGAAGUUUUCAAAGGCAGAAUCCGCACUUGUCAAAGGGAUGAUCUGCACUUGUCAAAGACACGAUCCGCGCUGAACGGAUCGACACAUUUCCUUCCGUAUUCACAUAUGUAAUCUUUGAAAAAAUAUAGCUUCUGCAUCUAUAAAUAACGCUCAAUGUAUAAUGUUUUAUUCAAGAAAUAAAAACAAGUUUCUACAUGGUAUCAGAGCCAUGAAUGCGCUCAAGUUUCUUCAAGUUUCGUUGCUCUGUUUGUCACAAAAACAGAGGAAACCAAAUUCGUCCCACAACCAUUUUUUCCACCAUUUUCUUCCUUAAAAUCAUUCCUAACAUUACAGAAAUCCAUGCCGAUCAAAAAACAUGAAAGACAAAUUACACAUGUGCAGUAACCAAUGAUCAUAUUUCGUUACUGUCAAACACAAUGCAUCUGAGCAAAACAUUGGAAGCCAACACCAGAAUACAUAUGAAUAAACAAUUAAAGAUAGAGAAAAAAGGCUUAAACCUUGGGGGAAAAAAGUGAAAAAACAUGAAAGACAAAUUACACAUGUGCAGUAACCAUCGAACUUAUCAGUGACAGCUGCAUCUAUUACAUUGCUCCAACAACACAAUGGCAAACCACCAGUUUCAAAUUGAGGAUAGCUAUCGAGAAUGAGAAAGUGUCCAAAACGUCAUAAAUAGACAUGUUCCUAUUGUGCAUAAUUUACAUUAUAGGCAAAUAUUCUUAUACCAUCAAUGGCAAAACAUGACACUAACAAUUGAUCCCCCCAACACCCCCCCCCCCCACCAACCAAAAAAAAAAAGGAAAUAACAAUACAGAAAAGAUUGAAACAGAUAAGGCUACACUGAGCACAGGAUGCCAUGAAACAUAAUCCAGGAACCAAAUUAAUAAAAAAGGAAGCCAAACCAUUAUUUAACAAUCUGUUUUGUAUUUGGGAAAGUCUGAUAAAAUCUACUUAGGGAUAAUUAGAGAACUUCAACUAUUAAUCACACCUCAUAAAUGAACUAACAUUAACCAUCUACCAUCCCCACGUCACACAAACAUUCUCUAUACUUCUGAACCUAAUACUUCCAUCUUCAAUUGGGGGGUUUUUUUCUUUUUUCUUUUUUUUGGGGGGGGGGGGGGGGGGGGGGGGAAGCUAUCAAUUUUCUAAGCUUGCUUAGCUUCUGUGUGGGAUUGAAAUGCUGAUUUCGAAUCACUAACAGUAAAAUUGGAAGCUCAUGAGAAAAUAGAGAAAGACCUAAUGUUGAGUCCUUUGGCGCAUGUCUCUUCAUAGGUCCGAACCAUUUCUUCGGGCGUGGGUUACGGCCGAGAUUGGAUAAUGAUGGAGGAGGAGAAAAUAGAUAAUGAUUGCACUAAUUUUCUAGAUGAAUUUUUUCCUACAUGCUUGUUCCCGAAUGACCCAAAAUCCUGCUACAUCAGUUGUAUUAGAAAUUAAUCAACUGGGUUACAAUUAUGCAUCCCCACCAAUAUUUAAGCAAUUUACAGAAACAUUUCUUGAGGAAAAAAACUCAUAUCGCCACUAGGCUUUUAAUGAGGCUCAUUUUUAUGAAUUUGGAUGGCAUUAGAUAUCUCUCCAAAUAUUGGUGGGAGUAGAUCGCAGAUCUCUGGGCUAUACUACAAAGUGUAUGUACGUUGACUCUCAAUAAAUACAAACGAUUCUCUGAUAUGAUUCAAAACAUCAGUACAUGCAUCAUUUUAAUGAGAAAGAAUAUUCUAAGAACGAAAUUGAAGGUGCAAUCAGCAGCUAAAAUGAAGCCAGAAAUGUACACGCAUGAGGAACUUUUCCUAGAAGAUUGAUAUUUCUUUGACUAGCAAACCACACACGUCAAAGCUAGCCAAACCAUACCUGCAUGUCGGGGGUUUAAAUGGAGUACUUCUAAGCAUAAAACAUUGAUUAAAACAGAAUACACACAUACAUACCAGCAAAUUCAAAAUAGCAAAAGGAGUGCAAAAGUUCAAGUUUGUAGACAACAUUGCAACCAUGGCAUGUUUAUAGCAAAUCCUCGAAAUCUGCUAAAUAAAACAAUGCCAUGUCUCAUGAAUCAAUGCUGAAUUAAAAUUGAAACUGAAAGUCUGGCUAGCGAUGUUUCCCUCUCCAAUUUUGCCUACAUAAGUGAAAAUAAGAAUAAUAAAUGAAAAUCUGCUUUGACAGUUCUUAUUAGAUAGAUAUAAAAAGAUCUUUCUUUGUUUCUCUGCAGCAAUCUGUGGCUAUCCCACUCUGUUUUGCCAGUCAAGCUGCGGCCUCAAUUAGUUUGGCACUUUUAUGACCUCCUUGAAGGUUUUACGAUAAACAUAAAUCUACUGACAAAGUGGGCAAAAAGAAAAUGUAUAUAAAAGUAUGAGUUAUCAGAUAAGAUUAAAACUCACCCAAUUCAAUCCAUCAGAUUCCGUAAGGAUAUAACUGGAUGUCAUACCGCCACUCUAUAUUCUUGAAAGUCCGUAGUGUUUGUCUCAACUGUGUCUGGGGCCAGUGUAAGUCCAAUUUGCGCAAGCUCUCUAUGCACCACAGCUCUUCUGGAAGCUUUCUCAAGUAAGCACAUGGGUUGACAAUUAAGCUUUCAAGUUUCGGCAUUGCUCCAGCCCCCAUCGUCCACUCAUCUAGCCAAUACAUUGAUUUCAGGUGCAAAACCUUAAGUUCGGGAAAGCUACUCAAGCCAACACAAGCAAGCUUUCUUCCUAAAUACGAGUUCUGCUUCAGUUUCAGCACUCGAAGGAGUGGAAGAUUUUCCAGAAUUGGCAUGGGAUCCUCCAUUAGCUCAGUAUUUGAUAAGCUCAGUUGGAUCAGACUUGGGGGAAAUUGGUAUUCAGACAGGACCAUCCGUGAGGGCUUGCUCUCAUUCACCAGCUUCAAGCAUUCAAGUUUGUGGAGUUCGCAAAGGCUUUUGGAAACCCCAGAUUGAUAGUAACUCAAAUCUCCAGAUAUCCGAAGAGUCUGAACACUAGGUAGUCUGCCCAAUAUAUCAGGAGUACAACUACUAGGGUUUAAAGCUGAUAUGAAAAUGAGAUUUUUCAGAGAGCUAGAAUAAUUUUUUGGAGGUGCGGGCAGAGUGAUAGAACCAAAGUUUAGAUGCAUGAGUUUUUGCAUCAUCCAAAUAUCCUCUGGUGACUGAUCUAUGUAGCUAGAUGGCAUUUCUAGUGUUUCAAGGUUUAAAAGGGUGCAUAGCAGUGAAGGAAGGCAUUUGGGCGAAGGGAUAUUCAAUUUCAAAUACUUCAAAAGGAAUGAAUUUUCUAAUCCGGGUGGAUAUUGGUCCAGGACUGCAGAACCCAUGUUCAAUACCCGAAGGUAUUUGAACCUUUUAAAAAAAUUCUCGCAAUCUUUCGAAUUAAGAUGAUUGCUUUUUGAACUGUGAUUCAGAAA